CUCCUCGAGCUCCUCCUCCACCACCACCUCCUCCUCCCUCUCCUCACCCCCGCUGCUUCUGACGACGAUCUCCCGGCCGGUGCUGAUGACAAUCUCCCGGUCGUCGGCGCCGCGGCUGCUGCUGCUGCUACCACUAGCCGCCGUUUGUUCACUCAACAUGUGUCGCCGCCGUGGGUGAGGUCGUCGUCGCCGUCGCCGCCGCCGCCGCCGCUAGUGCUCAGCCACUAGCACACACGCGUAACCAUCGGCGUCUUGCUCUUCUUCCUCCUCUUCGCUUCUCCGAGCUGAGCUGUGGUGGUGAGUGGUGAGUAGGAUCGGAUGCCUAGCUUGGUUAAAUAGGCGGGAGAAGAGGGGGAGGUGGGCCCGGGCGUGUCAGUGUCGCUGAGCCAGUGCCCGCCAUUGGAGGGGCAGUUUGGGUAUUUCCGUUUCGAUCCCCAUUUCGUGUGCCUUUUGGGCGGCUUCGUCUCGCUUUCUGAUUUUGGAGGGGUCUGUGUGUGUGUGUUUAUUUUUGGGGGGUAAGGUUUAGAGGUUAGAGUGUGCAAAGUGCGCUGACUCACACAAUCAUAUAGUUUUAACAUUAACAAGCGCCGUAUGAUUAUUUUUUCCCUUUGAUUAGUAGUACAGGUUUGGAUUGGAUACGUCACCCAUUUUUUAGGGCAAAGAGCGUGAAGGUUCUAGCCUUCUCUCUUCCUACAUGUUUAGUUACGUACUUCCACUGUACGAUCAUGCGUCGCCGUAAAAUAUUUUAAAAUGGAUCGAUAAAUAUUACUCACUCCGUCCCAAUAAAAAUCAGGAAAUCAAUCUAUGUUGAUUUUUAUUAGGACGCUAAGUUACUUUUUAUCGAGACGGAGGGAUUAGUUGUUUUUUAAUGGACUAGAUUGAUGUUCUAAAUAGAUUAAUUAAUAUAAUACUCCAUUUAGGGGCGGGACAUACGAUAGAUUAUCUAAUUUUGUGAUGAUAAUCGACUAUACAAACGAAUGAAUUAAUUGUGAAAAAAUAGAUAAGUUGUUCUAAAAUAUUAUUCUAAACAGUUUAUAUAUAGAAAGUUUUUAAAAUACCAUGUUUCUAAACUUGUAAAACGUGUCUACGAUAAUCUAUAAUUUAUUGAGGAAAAGAACCAGCCUCAAACCAAUUGCUACAUGCUAUAGUGGUUUGGGUCAGGCGGUGAUGAGGACAUCCUCCACUAUUAUCCGCUGGCAGAGACGCUAAAGUCGGGCGGCGACCGUGUGAGCCUCUGAAUAAUCCCACCUUGCUUAGCUAAUCCCACCUUACUUAGCUUAGAAGGAGGAAGCCACCUUAAAAAGGAGAGCCACCCUUCCCCUACCGGACUAGUCUUUUAGGGAGAUUGGGCCUUUCCCUGAGUGGGUGUGCUAAAGAACUGUUGGGGUCCGGACAACCUUAAGUUAUUGGGCCUCGGCCGACCCCACCUGGGCCGGAUUGUUAUCAGGCGGCCGCAAUGACCUUACACAAAAUAUAUGGUUAAAUGAAUAUAACAUCAUUGGCUUCGACAUAAAUGGUACUCCGUUUCAGGUCAUAAGAUGUCUCCGUUUCAGGUUAUAAGAUGUUUUGACUUUAGUUAAAAUUAAAUUGCUCUAAGUUUGGCUAAGUUUAUAAAAAAUAAUAUUUUUUACAAAGAUAAAUUUAUUAUAAAAAUAUAUUUAAUUAUUAAUUUAAUAAAACUAAUUUGGUAAUAUAAAUAUUACUAUAUUUACCUAUAAGGGCCCCUUUGAAUCGCAGGGUAGAAAAAACGGAGGAAUAGAAAAAACGCAGGAUUCUGAUAGGAAUUGAAGUGUAAAACAGAGGAUUGCAAAACACAGGAAAAACACAGGAAUGGUCGUUUGAUUGGAGCGCAGGAAAAACGCAGGAAUCGGAUGAGAAAGAUAGACUCAAAGGAAAUUUUCCAAGAGGUUGGAGCUCUUGCUAAAUUUUCUUCAAAAUCCACAUGCAAUGUGCCAUUCCAUAGGAAUUUCAUAGGAUUUGGAAAGUUUCAAUCCUUUGAAUCAAAGGGCCAAAUAGAAAAAUUUCCUAUAGGAUUUGAAUCCUAUGAAAUUCCUACAUAAAUCCUUUAAUUCAAAGGGGCCCUAAACCUAGUUAAACUUAAAGCUGUUUAACUUUGAUUAAAAUUAAAACAUCUUAUAACCUGAAAGCCACGGAGUACUACUCAUAUGAUGUCAGCGACUCAGCGUAUCAAAUAUACACAUAUAUACCCACCCCUACCGAACGAACUACAAGUCGGUAUAACCGGCGAACCUUCGAGUGAUUCUGCCGCCGCAUGCAAACGAAGGGCCUGUUUAGAUGGGAUUAAAACUUUUAAGUCCCUAUCACAUCGGAUGUUUGAAUAUUAAUUAUAAAUAUUAAACGUAUACUAUUAAUAAAACCCAUCCAUAAUCUUGGACUAAUUCGCGAGACGAAUCUAUUGAGCCUAACUAAUCUAUGAUUAGCCUAUAUGAUGCUACAGUAAACAUUCUCUAAUUAUGGAUUAAUUAGGCUUAAAAAAUUUGUCUCGUGAAUUAGCUUUCAUUUAUAUAAUUAGUUUUGUAAGUAGUCUAUAUUUAAUACUCUAAAUUAGUGUAUAAAGACAGGGACUAAAGUUAAAUCUCUGGAUCCAAACACCACCGAAGUCUCGUGCACUCCUGUCCCGAGAGAGUUCAGUCAAACGCAUUCCCAGCGGAUAAAAUAAAUGAAGAUUUGGUGAUUAGGCCGUGUCAACUUCACCCCCCCCCCCCACCCCCACCAAAAAAAAAGAAGAUUUACGAUUCAAAUGUCAUCACCGAAUUGUUUACUGGUUACUUCGCGAGCAGGGAGGCGGUGAGUUACCUACGUAGUACGUGUGUGCUGGUUUAGAGCAACGUUGACAGCGACGUUUUAUUAAUUCUUACACACACGUAAGAGGUACUACUACCACGUCUCAUAAUAAUUCUUACACUGUUUGACCACUCGUUUUAUUUAAGAAAAUUUAGAAUUAUUAUUUAUUAUUUAUUGACUUACUUUAUUAUCCAAAGUAUUUUAAGCAUAAUUUUUUAUUUUUUUAUAUUUGCAUAAAUGUUUUUGAAUAAGAUAAGUGAUCAAACAGUGCAAACAAAAACUCAAAAUUUCUCAUAUUACUCCAAUUUAACAGAAGGAGUAGUAAUUAUCAUCGUUUGCAUGGAGGCGAUGGGUAAUCAAAAGACGUGGUCGGCCGCGGUUAACCCCGUCUCGCUGUCACGGAGUUAAAGCGGGUGUGUGUUAGCGAAAGGGGGUUAGGAUUAUUUUGAGGCCGUUGCGAAUUAGCGGCGGAGCCGUGUGGGGCCCAGCCCGCUUGCAUUAUCCUACUACUCUAUUAUACACCGGGUUAGGCGCAGACAAGGUGGGCCCGGGGGUGUCUCCGCGGGUGGGCCCCACGGGUGGAGAUCGACGGCGGAGAUGCGUUUGGUGUGGUGCCUGUCAGAGAUCAGAACGAACAAACCCGUCAGGUGAGGCGUUGGCCGUUGGCCCGACUAGAUAGAUAGGGGGUGUGCCACUAUGGGGGUGUUUGGGAGAGAGGGGCUAAACUUUAGCCCCUCUCUCAAAACCAUAAGUCUCUAGGAGAGGGACUUAUGGUUUUGAGAGAGGGGCUAAAGUUUAGCCCCUCUCUCCCAAACACCCCCUAUAUCUACCAGUAUGCCGGUAUGGUCGUCUACUCGUCUCAUGUUUCAUGCUGCGAGCCUGCAAAAAUAGUAGUGGCCUUUUUUACUAGCACGUUUCUACAUCGACGACACACCACGUGGCCAUGCCUGCAACAGUGCUUAGAUGGAGAUUAGCCAUGAUCAUUGUUACUAUGGUGUUCAAGUGAAUAGGGGCAGGGGUGAAAACGAGAGGGGGAAACACCGGAGCAAGUUACCGAAUGUUACUAGUUACUACUUACUAUUUCCUCCGUUUCACAAUGUAAGUCAUUCUAGCAUUUCUCACAUUCGUAUUGAUGUUAAUGAAUCUAGACACGAAUGUGAAAAAUACUAGAAUGACUUACAUUGUGAAACGGAGGGAGUACUCGUGUAUUACUUUCGUCCACAAAUAUUUUUUUAGCUACAUACAUUCACAAAGUAACGAGAGCUACAUUAGGUUUCAUGUGGUGAAACCUAUUCAUCUAAGUUAAAGUUCUAAAUUUAAUAUAGACAAGAAAAAACUACCCAUACGUUACAAUAAGUGAAGGCUAUUUUAAUAUAUUAUUGUUAGAAUUUUUGUCUAAAAAAUAUAUGGGAUUUUUAUUUUGAUAGUAUUGAUAUCUAAUUUGGAACCCUUAUUAAGAUGAUGGUCAUAUCAUGUACGCCUGACGAGAAUUCUAAAGCAAUUAAGAAUCAGACUCCCAUCCUAGGUUUGCAUGUGAGUUUUUUUAAAAAAGAUUUCUUAUAUGACUCCUUAUAUAUUUUCAAAAGCGAACAAACUUAGAAACCAAGUCAAAUACGAAUAACAUGCUAAAGUAUCAGCGAAAAUAUUUUUAAUUUUUAUAAUAAUGGAGAAGAGAUAGAGAUACCAAUACCGAAAGAGAAAAUGAGGGGAAAAGAGAAGAGAUUGAAAGAAGAGGGAGAGAAUUAGGAUUAUCGGGAAAAAGAAAAAGAGAAAAGAGUAAAAAAAAAGACAGUCAAGGGAAGAGCACAUGACUUCGAGUGGAUGCACGCGGGAUGGUACGGGUCGAUUGGGUUGUGUUGGGCUAGGAGAGGGAUGGGUGGGAUUAGGCUGGGGAGGAGGUGUACAGUACUCCAUCCAUCUACUUUUGAUAGGUAUAUUUCCAAAUCUGAAAAAUUUACUUUUGAAAUGCAUAUUUUAAUCCAACCACCUAUCAUCUUAAUGACUUUCUCGGAUUUAAUGCGUGACUUUCCAUUCUUUCACAUAAGACUGGUUACAUGGGCAUCAAGAAAUAUAAAUAUUAAUGAAUCGAUUGUUUACGAUGAAUAACUAGUAACAUGUUUAAAUGGAUGAUAAGUAGAAUUACUUAUCCUUGGUCAUUGUGUGAAAUAUGACUAUAAAAAGUAGAUGGAUGGAGUAGUUAUUUUAGGCUCGAGCUGAACUGGAUGCGGACGACGUACAACCUAGACACCGAUAACGAAAUAAAAUUCCGACAAAAACAUCUUCAAAUUUUAUAAUAGUAGAUAUAUGAUAUGCUCUCAUUUACACAUAAACUUUUAAGUAAUUUUAAGUUUAGAUAACAUAUCUGUUAAUAUCUGUUAACAGUGAGGUGUUUAUGGUAAUUUCGUCAAAUUUAAAAUAUAUCCAUUUAGUUUCUUACAAGUGCUAAUAAUGUGUCCCUGUAUUCACAGGGGAUUAGUAUGCACACAUGUAUAUGAAUUUGAAUAUCUAUUGUAUUGUGCUUGUAUGAGAAAAAGACGCAUGGUCGUGUCGCUUGUAUGAGUAUACGUCUUUUACCCUUUCCACGCGCGGAGCUUCGCUAGCUGUAUUCCGGCUGUACAACGUUGGACGCACGGCCAGGGGAAGAAGAGUGUAGAACACGCGGUGCAUGCGAUGCGAUGCGAUGAGCUCACUCGAACCGCGACCGAUCGAAACGACCGCGCGCAUGACGAUGACGUGCACGCACGUAGCAAUCAGUCAAACACAGCCACCAAAAAAAAUCACAGCAUAAUCCAAAAUUCGUCUUGCUUAAUUUAUGCCUCUACUUUGCAUUACUUUACAGCCUGUGAAAGUGAGAACGAAUGUUUUUGUCACCUGCAUGCCGCUGAUAUUUGACGCGGCCAAAACACACCCGUCUGCCAAAAUAAAACCACACGUUUUUCCCUCUACGAAAUACUACAACCGUCCAAAAAUACUCAACUUAAAAGAGGAUGUAACCUCUUCUGAUACAAUGUAUUUAGACAAAAAGCUAUCCAGAUUCAUUAUACUAAGAGCAAGUUUAAUAGUAUAGCCAACUAAUAGCUCCAAUUUAUCUAUAGCUAAUCUAGUAGCUCAUUUAUACAAUAGUUACGUACUACACUAUUAAUACCUGGUCUCACCUGUCAUACACAUAUUGCGUCUCGAAGUCCGUGCUAUAGCUGGCUACAAAUGUAUAGCCCGCUGCUCUUCUCUCUCCUUAUUUAUCUUAUUAAAAUAUGUUUGCAGCUGGUUUAUAAUCUGCUAUUGUACCUGCUUAAAAGACGUGGUUGAGUUUUUUUAAGAACGAAAAGAGUACUAAUCAGGAAAUUUGAAUUUGGUUGUGACAAGAAAAGGAUCUUGUUAUCAAGGGUAGACGUCAUGAGAUUGAGAAGGAUCACGACAUGUAAACUCCAUGUCAGUGACUCGGUCGCAAUUUCGCAGUGCUUAGGUGGUCUUUGAAUUUAGGGAUUUAACUUUAGUUUUUUAUUUAGACACUAAUUUAGAGUAUUAAAUAUAGACUAUUUAGAGAACUAAUUACAUAAAUGAAAGCUAAUUUGGGAGACAAAUUUUUUAAGUCUAAUUAAUUCAUAAUUAGAGAAUGUUUUACUGUAGCAUUAUAUUCUAAUCAUGGAUUAAUUAGGCUUAAUAGAUUCGUCUCGCGAAUUAGUCCAAAAUUAUGGAUGGGUUUUAUUAAUAGUCUAUGUUAAUAUUUAUAAUUAGUGUCCAAACAUUUGAUGUGAUAGGAACUUAAAAGUUUAUAGUCCCAUCUAAACAGGGUUAGACUAUAGAUUUUGCAGGGGGCCAGUGCUGGAUACAACGGAGGAAACAAACAAAGGGAAGAGAUGGCAGGAGGUAGUAGUAGCAAGGAUCCUCUGUAACAACCAUAUCUACAACGAUCGUUGCAGAUUCGACUAUAAUUUGACUGGCCCCAGCAGGCAAUGGAUGCUCCGAGUGGAGGAGCAGGGAGUUGCAAUCAUGACUAAGAGAAAGCUAAUAGGAUUUGUCAAGUUUGAAGAUUUUCGAAAGAGAUGUCAAGUAUAUAUGAAAGGCAAUACUGCAAAAAUCUAAAAAUGUGCCAAAUUAAGGUGGUACAUUCUCUCAUACAAUUUAUGCAAUAUCUGAUCAAAUAAAGCUCGAACUCUAAGUAGCCGAUGUAUUAGAAGAUUGGAACCCUUGAUGGAUUUCCCUUUCGAUAUAAUUUGGUUAACAGAAUUUAGGUCGAAUGUCCAUAAUCUCCUAACCUUAGAGCAUCUGUAGUGUGAACAAAAAAUCGAUUUUACGACAGGAGAACCAAAUCAUGCACAUUGUAGCUGUCGAACCGUAGGUGUCAAACAACAAAUCGAACUCCACAUUGGAGUCGAACUGAAAGAGUAAAUUAAUAUACUGUGCAUGCAUGCAGGUACGGUUCCAGUGAUUGGCUCAUUCCCUUUUUACAGAUCCCACAAAACAAUUUUAACAUUAUAGCUAUCAAACUGAAAUUUUGUUUGGCUCUUCUAUUAGAUUGAUCAAACCAAACACUACAGAUGCCCCCAGUGCCUUUGCCAACUGUUAGAUAAGUGUAGAAUUUUGCUUUCACUUUUGAAAUGGAAGUACACUAAUAUAUUUGGGAAAUACAAAGCAUAACUUUUAAAAAGGCCAAAUGCGUUUUACACUAAACUUAGCUGGUGCUCUGCUCCGCUCACAGAAGGUGGGUACGCAGAAGAUCAUUGCGGCAGGGAAGUAGUAGUAGGUCAUGGUCAACCUUAACCAUACCCUACCAUGACAGCAGCAGCCCAGGCCCAUCAAUCGCCCACAGCCCCUGCAGGCCCGGGCCCACUCGAGCAGAGGGGCACUGUGAAAAAGGCCCAGUCGGCCCCACCACGUCAUGGGGCGCCAUGCACGCACCGGUCAGACGACGCGGUUGUCGGCCUGGCCGGGGUGCCCAGCCACGUGGGCAGCCCGCGCGCUACCGACAGCGGCCGUGACCCGCGGGGCCCGGCGGCGCGCGCUCUCGCGCGCGCGCGACGUCGUCGAGACCGCGACGCCGACCGAUGGCGAGCGCGCCCGCGCCCCCGCCCCGCGCGCGCGCCGCGCCAGCCACCAUGCGACGACGUCGUACACGCACAGCGCGCCGCGGGCGCGAGCGCGCGCGCUCUGCAGCGUCGCCGCCGCCGAACGCCAUGCCGAUCGAUGCCGCCGGGCGCGCACGCGCGCGCGCGUCACCAUUGUGAUCAUGGCGCGCGCGACGUGACGGCGACACAAGCCAAUCCAUCGCUAGCGACUCGCUUAGUACUAUUAAUUACUCCACUAACUAGCGGCAUGUACAAGAAGCGGUAGGAGAAAUAUCGUGUUUCUGUCUAAUCUUUUCUGUGGUUGUACGCUUGUUUAAUCCUCCUUUUCGUAGGAGUUAAUGACGAUAGGGCUCGAUCAGAGAAUAAAAAUUGGGUUGGUGCGCUGAUCACUUUCGCGGCGAGUGUUGCUGACUUGCAGCAACGCGCGCCACUUGCCGCCGUUCGGUUGGCCUCCGCGGCGGGGGAUGAUAAUAAUGGAUAAUGCUUUAUGCGAGAUACGGCUCUGUUGGUUUUGCAUUUCUUUUUCGUUAGGGUGGUGAGUGCACCGGAGCCAAUAAACAGGUUUAGGUGGAGGACUCGUGUUUUUUUUUAAAGCUCAGCCAUACGCCCAUACGAUAAUUAUUUCAUUUGUUCUUUUAGAUGUGCCUACUAGUUCGUGCUAGUAAUCUAUAGAGCACUUCAGGACUAGAUAGCGAGAAAUCUGUUUUAAGAGAUCAACACGACACCCCUUUGCAUGCGACCUUGGGCGAGUGGCUAGCUAAGCUUGGACUGGUUCCUAAGAUUGCCACUAAAAACAUGUGUCAAAUGGUUGACUGAAUAUAUAUGUAAGGUGUCAGACUUGUCUCAAGAUAUAAUGGUGAUGAGAUCCUUUUGGGACGCACCUGAUCGAUUCUAUGAAUGGACUACAACUCUUUUGAAGUAGCAGAUCAUACUAGUGAGCAAACGCUUAAUAAUGUCACUCAUUCCCUCCGUCUCAGAAAAUACAAUCUAAGAUAGGAACUGUUAUAUAUCCUCGGACAACCAAUCAAGACAAGCACUUAAUCCAGAUUCGUUGUUCUUGAAUGCGUCACAUUCUAUUCUAAGUUAGGUUUUUUUUAUGGAGAAAGUACUUUAGAUUAUAAACAAAACGUAUAUAAUGAUUGAGACAGCUAUGUAAUAUCAUUUAUGUACACAGCCACAUCAACUAAGAACAAAUAAAAAUGGCAUGUACAAGAGACAAUAUGAUAUCUAAUGUCACUCCUCUCAACUGUUUCCUUGUACCCUAUAUUAUCUGAGAUGCCUCUUUGCAAAGAUACAUCUCCUUUCUCUUCUUUCUUUAUCCAUCGACACUUCAUUAAUUAAUUGCAAUGAGUCAUAUGGGGUGGGGGGUGGGGGGGGGAUGGAGGAACUAAGACCAAUUAAGGACUAAAAAUAUCUAGCAGUAGCUGGUCUAGAGCUGAUUACUGGUUACCAAACGAUGAAUUCAGAUUUUAAAAAUUCGACUAUUAUGGAUAACCUAUUCGAUUUUUAUAUUACUGCAAUGUUUUCCCUCCAACUCGUAAUUCAUAAAUAGUAGGGCUGGCCAGCCAGUUGGCAAUUGGGAGUCCAACUCAGAAGACAAUAUUGUGCAUAAUUCAGUUGGCAAUUGUCCGGUUAAUUUUAUUAGUAGGACAAAUUCGUUAUGCCAGUGGCACCUAGUUCGGUAACAAAUUUUGGUGUUAUUGUAGAGGUUGGAUAUAGCGUUUUCAUAUCAAACACUCAAAAGUAGUUUAGAGGUUUUCCCCUGUGUGGAUAUUAUGGGUACCCCAUACCCAUACGGCAUGGUUAUCCGACCAGUCAUAGGGGAUAACUUAUAUCUAUAGAAUAUGUAAUAGAUCAUGACUCGGGUAUUACGUUUCCUUAUAUAUUACGGAACAGCCUAAAGUCCUGGUUUGAUAAUAUUGUAAAGUAGAUUUAGGAAACCGAUACCGUAUUGGUUAAGGUUUCUAUCUUGUAAUCCUGCCCCCCACCCUAUAUAAGGUGGGCAGGAGGCCCUCUAGGGGGCAUGAGACAACCUGAUCGUCAGAUCUAUAAUACACCCGGCGGAUUCAAAUCCCCAAACAGGAGUAGGGUAUUACCUCUCAUUGAGAGGGCCCGAACCUGUCUAAAUCCUUUGUCUCCACAUCCAUCCACUUUUAGGUCUCGUGCGCUACCCCGUUUUAUUAUUGCCGAAAUCAUGUUUCGACAGUUGGCGCGCCAGGUAGGGGUUGCGUCGAGUUUCCUAUCAACGAGCGCGAUGGAAUCAAUUUCAUGAGUCGCCGACUUCGCUUUCGCUUUGGGAGUUUUCACUUCCUUUCCGUCGACCACUUCUUCAAGCUCCUCUUCUCUGACUUGAUCCAAAUCAGUCAGGGGGAAACUCAAUCUGAUUUUUAUCAUUAUUUAUCAUAUUGAUUUUUAAUCUCAGAUUAAUUUCUUGCUAUUUUUUGUUGUUGUUCGCAUAUAACUACGCGGCACUAUUGAGGCGAUUGAUGCUGGUCAUGGACUCGAGGCGUCUCAGCUUUCCGGUCGAUCGGCCGCGAGUCCACUCCGCCGGCUUGUCCUCGCCACCGCCAUUGCUGAUAGCAACAACGACUUCACCGCCGGCCUGCCUCCGUCGCCGCCGACUGGUGUCAUCGCCUAUACGGUUGGUCGGUCACACCACCGUUCAUGGGCGUCCAUGUCUUCACCGACCGGCUGGCCUUCGCCGCCGCCGACUGGUGUUUCCGCCUACACGGCUGGCCUAUUAUGCCGCCGCUGUUGGGCGUCUACGACUUCACCGCCGGCCUGCCUCCGUCGCCGCCGAUUGGUGCCUCCGCCUACACGGCUGGCCUAUUAUGCCGCCGCUGUUGGGCGUCUACGACUUCACCGCCGGCCUGCCUCCGUCGCCGCCGAGUGGUGCCUCCGCCUACACGGCUGGCCUAUUAUGCCGCCGCUGUUGGGCGUCUACGACUUCACCGCCGGCCUGCCUCCGUCGCCGCCGAUUGGUGCCUCCGCCUACACGGCUGGCCUAUUAUGCCGCCGCUGUUGGGCGUCUACGACUUCACCGCCGGCCUGCCUCCGUCGCCGCCGAGUGGUGCCUCCGCCUACACGGCUGGCCUAUUAUGCCGCCGCUGUUGGGCGUCUACGACUUCACCGCCGGCCUGCCUCCGUCGCCGCCGAUUGGUGCCUCCGCCUACACGGCUGGCCUAUUAUGCCGCCGCUGUUGGGCGUCUACGACUUCACCACCGGCCUGCCUCCGUCGCCGCCGACUGGUGUCCCCGCCUAUACGGUCGGUUGGUCACACCACCGUUGAUGGGCAUCGUCAUCUACACCGCCGGCCUGCCUCCGUCGCCGCCGACUGGUGUCCCCGCCUAUACGGUCGGUUGGUCACACCACCGUUGAUGGGCAUCGUCAUCUACACCGCCGGCCUGCCUCCGUCGCCGCCGAGUGGUGCCUCCGCCUACACGGCUGGCCUAUUAUGCCGCCGCUGUUGGGCGUCUACGACUUCACCGCCGGCCUGCCUCCGUCGCCGCCGAGUGGUGCCUCCGCCUACACGGCUGGCCUAUUAUGCCGCUGCUGUUGGGCGUCUACGACUUCACCGCCGGCCCGCCUCCGUCGCCGCCGAGUGGUGCCUCCGCCUACACGGCUGGCCUAUUAUGUCGCCGCUGUUGGGCGUCUACGACUUCACCGCCGGCCCGCCUCCGUCGCCGCCGAUUGGUGCCUCCGCCUACACGGCUGGCCUAUUAUGCCGCCGCUGUUGGGCGUCUACGACUUCACCGCCGGCCUGCCUCCGUCGCCGCCGAUUGGUGCCUCCGCCUACACGGCUGGCCUAUUAUGCCGCCGCUGUUGGGCGUCUACGACUUCACCACCGGCCUGCCUCCGUCGCCGCCGACUGGUGUCCCCGCCUAUACGGUCGGUUGGUCACACCACCGUUGAUGGGCAUCGUCAUCUACACCGCCGGCCUGCCUCCGUCGCCGCCGACUGGUGUCCCCGCCUAUACGGUCGGUUGGUCACACCACCGUUGAUGGGCAUCGUCAUCUACACCGCCGGCCUGCCUCCGUCGCCGCCGAGUGGUGCCUCCGCCUACACGGCUGACCUAUUAUGCCGCCGCUGUUGGGCGUCUACGACUUCACCGCCGGCCUGCCUCCGUCGCCGCCGAGUGGUGCCUCCGCCUACACGGCUGGCCUAUUAUGCCGCUGCUGUUGGGCGUCUACGACUUCACCGCCGGCCCGCCUCCGUCGCCGCCGAGUGGUGCCUCCGCCUACACGGCUGGCCUAUUAUGCCGCCGCUGUUGGGCGUCUACGACUUCACCGCCGGCCCGCCUCCGUCGCCGCCGAUUGGUGCCUCCGCCUACACGGCUGGCCUAUUAUGCCGCCGCUGUUGGGCGUCUACGACUUCACCGCCGGCCUGCCUCCGUCGCCGCCGAGUGGUGCCUCCGCCUACACGGCUGGCCUAUUAUGCCGCCGCUGUUGGGCGUCUACGACUUCACCGCCGGCCUGCCUCCGUCGCCGCCGAGUGGUGUCCCCGCCUAUACGGUCGGUUGGUCACACCACCGUUGAUGGGCAUCGUCAUCUUCACCGCCGGCCUGCCUCCGUCGCCGCCGAUUGGUGCCUCCGCCUACACGGCUGGCCUAUUAUGCCGCCGUUGUUGGAUGUCUACAUCCUCACCGUUGGCUCACCUUCGUUGCCGUCGACUGGUGUUUCCGCUUACACGGCUGACCUAUUAUACCGCCAUUAGUGGGCAUCUUCGCUUUCACCGUCGACCGCCUUCGUCGCCGCCGACUGGUGUCUUCAUUAUUAUUGAUGGACGACUUUGUUCCCACAUUGGCCACUUCUGCCAUCACCAAGGGGAAUAUUACAAAGCUAAGUCAUCAUUUAUUUUAUUCUUUAUAUGAUAUUUUUCCUUUUCCUCUGCCUCACUACACCAAUUGGUCUUCCAUUGAGUAGUGAGUCGGGGGCUACAGAUGUUAUAUCAUAUUUUUUAUAAUAUUUAUCUUGAUUGCUUGCGACAUAAUCUGAGUACAAAAGUACCUAUCGAGUUAUGGAGUUCUAUCUUCCUAUGCUUUCCGUUUGGUUUGCCAAUGGAUGGUUGCCUUUGGGCCGAUUCCUAACACCCGGGGGCUCGUUGGAUGGACCGAGUAACGCAAGGUGCUAAGUAUUACUCGGAAGAAAUCAAAAGCAUAGAGAUAAUAUAAUUUAUUUUCUGCUCUUAAUAAUUGCAAAAGUACCUGAGUAGUAAAUUCUGAUCCGUGAAACUUUGUUCCAUUAAUGACGAACUCAUGUCACUCAUAUGCAUGUUUGGGAAAUGCCUAGGCCGACUCCCGAUGCUUGGGGGCUAUGACUAGUCGGACAGAGUGUUUAAACGUACAGAGUCAUCUGCUCGGGGAAAUCAAAAUUGACAAGAGGAGAAAUACAUAUUUAUAAAUAUUUUAAAAUACUUGAUUUUUUCUCGAGUAUUAUAUUUAUAUCAGAUACUACUCAUCCUAUAUGUUUGUUCUGCAGGAUCCAGAUCCAGAUAUGCAUAAAAGGGAUUCAUGGCUUUAAGCUUAUCUCUUACGCUCCAGGAAUGGAUCAGUCAGAACACCACCACCGGCUCGCCUCGACCGCCGCCGACUGGUGUUUCCGCCUGCACGGCUGGCUUAUUAUGCCGCCGUUGUUGGGCGUCUACGUCUUCACCGACCGGCUUGCCUUCGCCGCCGCCGACUGGUGUUUCCGCCUGCACGGCUGGCCUUUAUGCCGCCGUUGUUGGGCGUCUACGUCUUCACCGACCGGCUUGCCUUCGCCGCCGCCGACUGGUGUUUCCGCCUGCACGGCUGGCCUUUAUGCCGCCGUUGUUGGGUGUCUACGUCUUCACCGACCGGCUUGCCUUUGCCGCCGCCGACUGGUGUUUCUGCCUGCACGGCUGGCCUUUAUGCCGCCGUUGUUGGGCGUCUACGUCUUCACCGACCGGCCGCCUCGUCCGCCGCCGACUGGUGUUUCCGCCUGCACGGCUGGCCUAUUAUGCUGCCGUUGUUGGGCGUCUACGUCUUCACCGACCGGCUUGCCUUCGCCGCCGCCGACUGGUGCUUCCGCCUGCACGGCUGGCCUUUAUGCCGCCGUUGUUGGGUGUCUACGUCUUCACCGACCGGCUUGCCUUUGCCGCCGCCGACUGGUGUUUCUGCCUGCACGGCUGGCCUUUAUGCCGCCGUUGUUGGGCGUCUACGUCUUCACCGACCGGCCGCCUCGUCCGCCGCCGACUGGUGUUUCCGCCUGCACGGCUGGCCUAUUAUGCUGCCGUUGUUGGGCGUCUACGUCUUCACCGACCGGCUUGCCUUCGCCGCCGCCGACUGGUGUUUCCGCCUGCACGGCUGGCCUUUAUGCCGCCGUUGUUGGGCGUUUACGUCUUCACCGACCGGCUUGCCUUCGCCGCCGCCGACUGGUGUUUCCGCCUGCACGGCUGACUUAUUAUGCCGCCGUUGUUGGGCGUCUACGUCUUCACCGACCGGCUGCCUCGACCGCCGCCGACUGGUGUUUCCGCCUGCACGGCUGACUUAUUAUGCCGCCGUUGUUGGGCGUCUACGUCUUCACCGACCGGCUGCCUCGACCGCCGCCGACUGGUGUUUCCGCCUGCACGGCUGACUUAUUAUGCUGCCGUUGUUGGGCGUCUACGUCUUCACCGACCGGUCGCCGCAUCCGCCGCUGACUGGUGUCACCGCCUGCACGGCUGGCCUGUUAUAACGCCAACUGAUGCUAUCUUCUUCACGGCUGGCUACAUCGCUGUCACUACUAAUAGGCAUCAGUAUCUUCAACACAAGCUGCCUACGUUUGCCAUGGCUGCCGACUGGUUUCUUCACUUCCAUGGCUGCAUGAUUCUGCCAGUGUUGAUUGGCCUUAUCUUCUUCACCGCCGGUCGUCUCGUCUGCUGCUGACUAGUGCCCUCACCUCUACGUCUGGUUUAUACAGCUACCACUACUGAUGGACAUCAUCGUCUUCCGUUGCCGACUGGUUAUGCCGCCGCCGACUAGUGCUUUUAUCUUCACAACUGCGCGUCUUCGCUACCAGUUUGCUUCUGUUGCCGCCGACUCAUGUUCACUUCAUCACGGCGAUGCAACUUUGUCAUCAUAGUGGAGCGACUUCAUCUUUAUUAUCUUCGGCACUGGCAAACUCUAUUGCUGCUACUUCGCAAGUUUUACUACUUCACCAACCACGACGUCUUUGUGAACCUCGACAUCUCGGCAUGCAAUGCCAUGAUAUUUUACUACAACAAGUGACUCUCCAAUAUUCAGGAUUUCUACUUGGACACCUUCAACACAUAUCUUCAAUCAAGCAAUGACUACUCGACGACAAGAAGCUAUAAUUCUCGACUCUAUGUUCAGUUGUUUCCCAACUAACCAAAGAGUCGGGGGCUACACAAAUAUAAGGCUCAAAAUUUGACAAAUUUUAUGUCAAGCUGAAGAAAUCAAUUAAUCAGCCAAUGAGUCAACUCCAGGAGUCAUUAUCUUCAUCUUUGCUUCGGAACAGACAUUCUACUUCAACAACUUCAAAUAUUUCGGUUUAGACGAGUUGGGCAACAACAUCAACUCUCCUCCAAUUAUUUGUCUUCACGGUUGGCCUACUACGCAACUGCCGAUAGAGGAUCUCAUCGUUAUCAUCGGCUGCUACAUCGCUAUUGACUGGAUCACCGACAUCGUCAUCUUCAUCAACAUCUUGUCAAGCCUCAUCAACAUAGCCUACUCUGCUGCCGUUGAUGGGAAACUUCGUCAUCAUAGUCGGCUAUCUCUGUUGCCGCUAAUCAUCAUUACCGUCGGAUGCGUUUGUCGCCGCCGAUUAUUUUCUUCAUCUUCAUGAUUGGUGGAUUUCGCCAUCACCGUUGAUGCGCGUCUACGUCUUCAUCGUCGGUUUGCUUUUGUCACCACCGACUGAUCUUUCGUUGUUGUUGGGCGCCUACAUCUUCACUGCUAGCUGACCUGACUGUUGCCGACUGGUUUCUUCGCUUCCAUGGUUAUGCAACUUCAUUACAUUUGAUUGGUGGCAUCUUUACUACCACUGACAUCUUCCGUUACUUCUGAUGAGCAAUUUCGUCUUCAUGUUGGUCAUUUCAUCUCCAUGCCGACUGCGUCAGCUAUUGCCAAUAGACAAUUUUGACUAUGACAGAAGGACAAGCUAUAUGCUCAGGGGCUCAUCAGCUCAAGCGUGAGGAUUAUAUCUCCAAUUUGGACUUGUUCCGGAUACAUUCCACAUGGAUUCAUAGUCAUGAGUCUAUUUUCUAUGCUCAAAGACUGGACCAAUUAUUAUUCCCCGUAAGGGCUAUCAACCGAAUACUUGCGCCAGUCGGGAUUCAAUUAUUAUAUUUAUUUUGGAGUAUCCCAUAAGGGAUAAUCAUUCAGAUCAGAAGCUAUUCAUAUGAGCUACACUUGGUCUAUAUUACCCAGAAGAUUUAUUACUCGGGAGCAUGUUACAUGCGUCAUCCUUUAAAGGGUGUCGAAGGCAUAUUUUUUGGCCUAGGCCUAAUAUGUCUGCAGCCCAUAUUUUCAGGUGUGGCCUGUCACGUUCUUUUAGGGACUUAGGCACUUUUUGCUUAGGCCAAAGUGCGCGUGAUCAAGUGCCCAAUACCUUAAAAUCCUUUUAUACCGCAGUUACUUAACUUUUUAGGAGUUGGUACAAUGCAUCUUAAAAGGUGUCAAACAGUAAAGCUUUAUAUAGCUGUCCCGCUGACUUUUUUAUAUAUAAGUCAAGGUGCUGUUUGGGUUUUUAAGCAAUUGAUUAGAUACAAUAUCAUUGCUUUUCGCCACGUAAGUGUGCAUUUUUAUUGACCAAUGUUAUGGCUUAGGCUGAUUAUAUAUUGUGGUCAUUUUCUAGGCGGUUGGUAAAUCCUUUAUGAGUUUAUUUACUCAGAUUUUACACCACAUAUGCCAUAUAUUUCCAGGUGUGGUGAAACCAUGUGUCUUCUAGGGACUUAAGCACAUCUGUUAAAGCAGUGUGCGCAUGGCGUAUGCCCAAUACUUUGGAAAUUUCUUUAUUCACAAUAUACAAGCUUCUUUAUAGCUAUUUUGCUAUAUCACUCAUCAUAUUUUACAAAGCAGUUGGUAUAUCACUCGGAUCAUGUUAUUUGGAGGAUUCACACCGCAUAUGCUAUAUAUUGAUAUCAAGUCACUUGGUUGAUUACGAUUAUCAAAACCACUCGGUUGGUUGGAUUAUUUAUUCCUUGACUAUAUGCUUGGUUUGUUCAAUUAACCACAUUGUCGGGGGCUACACCUAUUAGGUGCAUCUAGUCGGUGCACCUGACUUUAUUUUCCAGCCCUCCACAGUCUUCAGAUUUGGUAAAAGUACUCGGGAGACCAUGACAAAGAUGAUUGAAGCACUCGGCUUUGGAGUAAUCUGGUUCGAGAGAAGAUUAUCUUUUCGACUGCGAAGGUCUCAGGGGCUACUGUGGAUAUUAUGGGUACCCCAUACCCAUACGGCAUGGUUAUCCGACCAGUCAUAGGGGAUAACUUAUAUCUAUAGAAUAUGUAAUAGAUCAUGACUCGGGUAUUACGUUUCCUUAUAUAUUACGGAACAGCCUAAAGUCCUGGUUUGAUAAUAUUGUAAAGUAGAUUUAGGAAACCGAUACCGUAUUGGUUAAGGUUUCUAUCUUGUAAUCCUGCCCCCCACCCUAUAUAAGGUGGGCAGGAGGCCCUCUAGGGGGCAUGAGACAACCUGAUCGUCAGAUCUAUAAUACACCCGGCGGAUUCAAAUCCCCAAACAGGAGUAGGGUAUUACCUCUCAUUGAGAGGGCCCGAACCUGUCUAAAUCCUUUGUCUCCACAUCCAUCCACUUUUAGGUCUCGUGCGCUACCCCGUUUUAUUAUUGCCGAAAUCAUGUUUCGACACCCUGGUUCUUCUAAAUGUCCUUUUUCCCCAUUACCGCUAUGAUCCGGUGUAACUGCACAACAGUUUUAAAAUUAAACAUUUACCAAUAUUGUGUCUGAAAGAAGUGCGCGAGACUUAACAUGGAUUUGAAUCAGAUGUGAUAGUGUGACUGCAAUUUAUGCAAUCUAUGACCGCUUAUUAGAUUGGGUCCAAUGGUCAAUAUGCACCCUGGUAGUGUAGAUCACUGUGGCAAAAAUUGUUUACUUUUGUGUUGGCACUGUAGCCAAUAAUCUGGUUCAUUCAUCAACAAAAUGGAUAUAGUCGCAAUUGCGUGCCAUAGCUUAACUUGUAGGCGGCUCUAUUAAUUCAAAUUGUGCCUUAACGUAGCAUAGAGGUGGACAAAAAGCGCAAAGCUCAUGGCUUAGAUCAGCUUGUAGCGAUCUCGACUCAGAUAGGCUCGAACUCGUAAUCUUAAUGAGUCAGGCCAGGUUAGAUUUUUAACUCAUAACCUUAACGAGCUAACUCGCGAGCUCCUCGUUUAGCUUGUUAGUACAAGAUAUCACCACAUCUUUAUAUACUUAGUACUUCUUAACUAGUGCUUAGAUUUUUAAUUACAUCAAAAUUAUUCGUAUUUAGUGAGUUCUUCAUUAGUUUGUGUUUAUUAUUAUGUUAAUAUAUGAUAAAUUUGAAAUUAUCGAUAUGAUAUAAAUGAGAUAGAGCUUGUUAACGAGCCUAAUGAGCUUAACAGCUCACGACCCGAACCGAGCUAGUCUUUUAGCUCAAUGUUAAUGAGCCGAGAUGACUCGUACUAAGAUAACGAGUUUUAACGAAUUGAGCCUUAACGAGUCUAGCUGGUUCGUUAUCCAGCCCUAUUUAGUGGUGGCUAACGAGCCAACUCGGCUCGACUUGUAAAAACUCGUUAAGUUAGCGAGCUAGCUCGGGUUGACUUGUUAACAUAAUGAGUUAAAAAUGGAAAGCGACUCGACUUGUUAAAAUAACAAGUUAAAAAUGAAAGCAACUCGACUUGUUAAAAAGCCCAAGUCGACUCAUUAAACUCGUUACAUCGAAAUACAUGGUUUAAAAUUCAUAUACAUGGGGCAAAGCGAAGUUUGUCCCUCGCGUCGACCUCGCGCGGCGGCUCGGGGGCGAAACCCUAGCCGCCACCGCCCCUCCUCCUCCCUCCUCCCUGCUUCGCCGCCGCCGGAGCUCGUCGCCGGCAAAGCCGGGCGACGCGCUGGGAUGGCGGCGGCGGGGUAAUCUCCCUCGACUCCAUCUCGCCCCGGCGCGGGUGUGGCGACGAUGGCGGCGGGACGGCGAGGUCGCGGCGGCGGGACGGCGAGGUCGCGGCGAUGGCGUGGUGGUGGGGCUCCCCGCGGCGAUGGCAGCGCGGCGGUGGGGCUCUGCGCGGCUCCGUUGAGGGCGUCGCCAGAUCUGGUAGCCCCGCCAGAUCUGGCCGGGGUACGACGGCGGCGCGGCGGCGGGUCUCGGCGUGGCCGGCGACGGUCUCGGUCGACGCCGGCGCCCUCGGACGUAGCAGGUGGCCAGCAGCUUCGGCGCGGUUUCAUCGGCGACGACAGCACCGGGUCGGCGGCGGUGCUCCGGCGCCGGCUGCCGCGUGGUCCUGGCCAGGGGCUGCCGGCCUGCUGCGGCUUUUGCCGGCGACGGGGAAGGCGCCUCCAUCUCCCUCCCUCCUGGUCCUCCAGAUCCGGUUCUCCCCUUCUUCAGUGGUGUUUCUUCCGGUGCUCUCUGACGGUGCGGCGUCCGCUCCCCUCUUCUUAGGUGCUCCUCCCUUCUUAGGCUAGGCUGCUUCCAGUCGAUGCCGGGGAGUUCCGUGGUUCGGUAGGGGUGGCGUGCGGAGUUGUUUCGGCAUCCUGUUCGCUGGUCGUCGGCCGCGCCGUUGUUUCCCUGCAGCUGGGUUCCUGGGUGUGAGGUGGUCUCUGGUCGAGCUGCAGGGUUGGCUGUUGAGGUGGAGUUGGAGCUGCUUGUCUUGCAAGCUCGGCAACGAUGACCCUCAACGAACGUCCCGGCAACGCGACGAGGGUUUUGAGGUGGAGCAGUUCGAGAGAGCCUUAGGUGAAAACCUUGCCUAGUGUCGUAGGCUCUCCAGACCUUCCAUUAUAUUUGAGAGAUGAAGUGAAUAAUUCAAGUCAUCAAACAAGCAUAAUGAAACAUCCGACGCCUCGAGAGAGGAAUUUUGGAGACAUUGCUGGGCCCUUAGCCUGCCAGUCAACUUCAGCCUGAGAUGUGCCCGUCAAACCACUCAAAGGCGGCGACCAGAUGUGUUACACAUUCAGGAGACUUGACAAAAAUGGCUAAAGAUCUACAACCUCUCAAAUAUUCCUAACUCAUACUCAUGUGAAUCUAGUUCCCAGGAUGUGCACUAGAUUCACACUUUCAUCUUAAGCAUGAUUAUACAUAGCAAACACAACUAAGAUGAAAGAAACUUAAGACUUACAACAACUUAAUAAUUACAUAGGCCAACCGGCCAAAUAGACUUAUUAGAGAACAGCGGAAGCUUGACUACCCAAUCACAAGCACACCGACUAGGGGUUUACCCUAUUAAGUUCUCAUCCUAGAAGAAGCAAUCGGAACCCGCAUCACUCAAAGACUAAGACUAAACCUGCAAACAAAAGGUUAUAUCAACAGCAAGAGUCAGUACAUUAAACAAGUUAAUGUACUGGCAAGCACAAGUCAAUCCUACUAUACUACAUGUAAGGCAUAUAUUCAAAGGAAGGCAAUAUGUAGUUCAAUUUCAGCAUAUAGCAAGUUUUGUUUUGCAAUUCUUUUGUAAAGGAGGUGAUGCUUCAAUUAACAAAGACAAGUUUUAAGUUUCAUUAUUAACUUCUUCAUAAUUCCAUCAUAAACAAUCUCUUAUUGCCAUACUUAACAAUAAGUCAUAAUGUAUCACCACAUACACAACUCAACACAUUUAUCAAUUUCAAACCAAUGUCACAUGAUCACAUUUUUAAAACAUAGUCUAUACUCAUGACACAUCACCAAAGCGCUCAUGACCGUGAGCACGGCUAAUCGAUUAGUUUAAAGAACUCUGCAGAGUUUGUACAGCUUUACCCACAUGAUAUGAACUCUCUAGUUUGUUUUGAGUUUGCAAGACUCCACCACACUCUUCAUGUUGAAUGUGAUCUAGAGGUCAUAACGAAGCCUUUACACUACUUAGAGCCUAGCCUUGCACCAGCACGAUACGUGUUCCUCCAUCCUAGGCAUACUUGGAAUAUACCUGGAACCGUUAAGUGGCGGGCCCACGCCUUAAACUUAACGCCGUGGUAGCGGACACGACGGGAACCCACCACGUGGCACAAUACCGUUGUAUUGGACACGCUUAGUCACCUAAACUACCACGUCGGGGUAAAUAGGAAGCUCCUCUGAAUUAUACGAACUCAUACACACCGGCCUACCAGAAUGCAAGGCUAGUCCUAAAUAGAUUAAUCAGCUUAGGCCAUCCCAUACUAGCACAUGUGGAUGUACGAAUAACUUUAAAUGGGUGACACAAGUUCGGUCCUUAUGGACUUGGGCAAACACUCCCCCUAUCGGUAUGCAACUAACACUAUAUGCACACCACUUGCUGCCCAAGUGUAAAAUCACAUUUUACACAUUUUAGUUCGCAAAUACCCAUCAUAUUCAUUUUAUUCCAGCAAAGGUUCAAGUAUCAAAACCACAUUUUAAUUAUAGAUGGAAUGAGCAUUUGCAUAUUUCUAAGCAUGGCUAAGCAAGUAAUUGCACAUAGAGCAUAUAUAAACCCAUAUGAGCACAAAGAGUGUACUCUAACCAUUUCUAGGGUUCAAACAGCAAGAGGAUCAAUUAUUCAAGGUGGGUUAUGCAGCAAAUAGGUCAUAACUACCUUAACCCAGUUUCAAAUACCGAUAUAGUCUAAGUUCACAUGCAACUUUGCAAACAAAUAUUUUCAUUCCUCAAAUCAUGGGAUCCAAUGUGUUCAAAGGAUGGGAGGAGAAAACUUGCCUUGAUCAGAGAAUUGUUAGCACCUAAUCCACUUCUUCACCGAUUAUGCAAUUAUCUAGAUAAAGGACACGACAUGCAAUUAAACACCGAAAGAGCUGAAAAUCCAAAAUGCUCUAAAAUGCAUGAUUUAUGCACAGUGGGUUGGAAAUGAUCUAAAAUGAAUUUAGGUGAAAUAAUUCCUAUUUUAUUUUAUUCCAUUUGGGAGUUAUGAAUUUUAGAAGUUUUAUCGGUUUACAAUAGUAUAGUCUUAGGUAGUGUUAUGAAAUACUUUUGUAAAAUGAUUUUUAUUAGAUUAGACUUCACAGGGGUGUGGAGAUGUGUUUUCUAAGACUAACACAUUUGGUUUCACAAUUUUUGGAAUUAUAAUGAAUUCUUUAUGCAUUUUACAAGUUAUAACGUGUUUUAGACAUAUAGUGUUUUAUAUGUUCAUGACUUUUGAGUUAUAGGUUCAGAACAUGCUACUUCCUGUUUAAGUUGAAUAAAAGGAAUAAUUUGGUUAACUAAAACAUUUUUAUCUCACAUGUUUAUGGUCUUUACUACUAUGGUUCAUAUUUUAUAAAGUAGAGAUGCUUUAAUCUAAACUAGCAAUAUAUUAUAUUAACCUAGAAAUUGUUAUAUGAGCUAAGUUCUUCUAAUUUUAGUGGAUGGAAAUGGAACUAUGGCUUCACUGGUCAAUCAAGUUUUUAUUUAGGUUUAAUUAGACCUAAAGUGUAUAUAUAUACUUAUACAUGUUUAUGUAUUACUUAAACAACACUAUGUGUUUAAAUUCUUAUUUCACUAAGUUAAGGUUUUGAUCAAUGUUCUCUACAAAAGGUGACAAAUUUUAUUUUACUAUGUUGAAGAUAACUAUUUGCUGGUUCUAUAGAAACUUUGUUCAUUUCAUUUGGACUAAAAAUAAAUUUUCUACAAGUUUUACAAAUUAAUGGCUGCUCUAUGUUAGUAAAUCCUUAUAUGAAUAUUUAGAGACUUUUACUACACAGCAAGUAUAUAAUCUUAUUUCAUAACAUGGAAAUACAUGUUUUAGUGAUCCUACAUAACUUAAGUUUAUUCAAAUUGAAGCUAAAUUGGGUUCUACAUGAAUUUCUAAAGUUUAGCUUAUCUAAAACUAAUCAUUAUAGAGAUAAUAGUUUUAGAGGCAUUUGAUGCAAAGUAAGUAAUUACUUUUAUUUCACUUAAUCAGAGACUGUAUGAUGAUGAAUCUGUAGAAUUUGAUUUUGUUUCAAAAUGAGUUGAAAUGAAUUUUCUAUGUAUUUUAUAAGUUUGUACAUGUUUUAUGUAUAACCUAUCUUAGAUAAAUUUUAGAGACAUUAUUUGUACAGUGAGUGUCAAGUUUUAUAUUCCUGGAAUAAAGUUCAUAACUUCAAGAAUCUACAGCAACUGGAAUAACUUCAAAAUGAGCUAUAUUUGAUUUUAUAUAGAUUUUACAACUUUGUGCAUUUUUCUGCUAAACAUAUAUUUGUUUGGGCAUUUUCCUAAUUUUUCUUCAGAUUUUAAAGGAUGGGUCCACAUGGCUGUGAGGGACCAAUAUGCACAAAGGCCCUUGAGGUUUCUAGGAAUCAACCCGCAGUCCUAGGCCCAUAUGUCAGUGUGUUUCUACAAUUGUAAACAGAUCCCUGCACUUAAUCUAAUUCACGGAAGUCAUCCCUCUGCUCUAGGCAGAGCAGAGCUAGCCAUGGCUGAGCUCGAUCUGGAGCUCGCCGGCAGCAAACGGUGGCUCGUUUGAGGUUGAGGUCAAAAGAUAAAAUGAAGAGCAAGCUCUCGCGAUUCCAUUCCUCUAGUUUUCUUGGUUAGAGGACAUCGGAGUAGCGCCGAUGGCGAGUGUGAGCGGCGGUGGUUUUGGGGUGAAAGUGCAUGUGUGCAUGGAAGUCGAUUACGAAUGAAAAGGAUGCAUGCAUGUGGUCUUCUAGACUUCAGGAUGCUCACCGUGGGUCGAGCUAGGGUUGUCGAGGUCUUGGCGGCAGCGGUGACUUGUGGAACGGCUCGGCGACGGCGCUCCUCCUCGGGUGAACGACGACGGCUCGAACGGGACAAUGAGCUGCUUCAAGCAAGCAUGCACGAGGGUUGUGAGGUCAAGGAGAUGGUGUAUGUGCAAGGAAUCGAACAAUGGCUCACCGAGGCAGCGGUAAUCGACGAUGACGGCAGAGGCGAUCCUAGAUUGGCGCCGGUGAAGAAAAGGAUGUGUUCUCCGUGUUCUUGAUGUUUCCGGCUGGGGUUCUUGAGGCGUUUUGAAGAGGAGGUUGAGGUGAUGACAAUGGCGCAGCGGCUUUCUCUGAGGUGGAUGAGAAUGGCCGGACGACAACGAUGGUUGAAGCGGCGGCGCUCCGGUGCGUGCUCCAGGGCAUCGUCGGCGUGGUCGCGUUCCGGUGGCUGUGAUACACAAAACGGGAGGUGGUCAAAAGAGAAAUGGUUCGGCACUGUGUGGAGAGAAGGGAACGCGGAAAACCUGGAGAUGACCUUUACCCAAUCAGCGAUGGCGAUGGUCGUCGUCUCCACGGCCGGCGGCAAGGUUUGGGGCGAUGGAGAGGCAGAGAACCUCCUCCCUCGGUUUCUUCGGCUCUGAGUGGUGAAUGGAGAAUGGCGACGCGUCUAGGAGGAGUAGAGAGCGAGAAAAAGGAAACCGAGAUCGACGACACGUUGCGGCCACGCGUCGGCUCGCUCAAUCUCUCCCUCUCUCGGCUGGAGCAGUGGAGGAAGUGAUGGACAGAGCUGAACCUAGCCUAAGGCACUGACAAGUGGGGCCAACUCGAUGGAAACUAGGCCAGGGAGAGAGAUAUGGGUAGAAGACUGGUAAACUGGAUUUUUAGAUUAAUUUUCGGAAUUAUUUUCUCCUCUAACUUUGUAACUACAUAAUUCAAUGUGUGGACCAAAUUAAUUAGUGUUGAUUUUACUGGAGGUAAAUGAUUACACCUAGAUUCCAUUUUCUUUGGUUGCACUCAAAAAUAAUGGGUGGACUGCUCACAGAAAUUAAACAAAGAUGGGCUAUUAGAAAGCUAGAUUGAAUUUUUAGGAGGCUUAAACAGAGAAGGAAAAUUCUAGAAAAAUUACAUUUAUUCAUGAUAACUAAUCUAGUAUUUGAAUAAAUUAUUUUCCAUGUUCACUGAUGUGCAGUUAAAUGUACUUUUGGAUGAAAUAUGGUUUUAGCCGAUUAAAAUUUAAUUUGAUUUCUUUUAGUUGUCUGCUUCGACCGAUUAAUUUGAGAUAUCAACUUGAGUGUUAACACGUUACCAAAUUACGGAGGAUAAGUUUGUGCUAAUCAUUGUCCACAUAAAUUUUUCCAUGAUUUUAUCUUGCACAAAAUAUUUUAGAGAAUUAAGUUGACCUUUGUUUGUAUAUGUGUUCCCACUUCAUAAUUGCAUCUAAUAUUAUUAUAGGGAUUACAUUAAACUUCUUUUAGACUGAGAAGAUGAUAUUUGAGUUUAAUAUUAAGUCCACAUGUUAUUACCCAAGAUUAACUAUAGGUUUGUUUAGUGAAGUAAUUCUUUUAGAUUAUGCUCAUGGGAUCUAUUAUGGAAUGCAAGACCAAAACUUCAAAUGCACAAAGAACUCGAGCCUAGGCAUGCAUUAUGUACAUGUAUGCUUGGUGACAUUUCUAGUCUAAUGUUGGGAAUGAAAAUGUUUUAUUUUGUUCUCAAAUUUUAAUCAUGCAAUGGUUUAAGUUGAUCAUCACCUAAAUUAAAACGGAAAUUUUUGGCUCUCAAAAUUGGAGAAAUUAACCUCUAACUAUUUUGAUAAGAAAUUUUAAGUCCUAAAAUUUCGGGUAUGUUACACCUAGUCUAUCCUAGGUUGAUGAUAUCGACGCUUGUGGGCGCCGUUUCCUCCUUGGAGGUGUCGUCAUGUUGGUUCUCUCUUCCUUCAGGUGAAAACCGGGUUCCUUUCGGAACGGGCGUUGACAGCAUCCUUAAUGUUGUUUCCUUGUUGAAGGCUUCGCUCAGAAGGUAUUUGCUCCACUAGAGGAUGUUUGGUGGUUCUGGAGACCUUGUCAUUAUGUUGUCGAAGCUGCUUGCCUUUUGGUAAGCUCGGUAACGACGACUUCUGUGAGGUCUCAUUAGUUGUUUCUUUUCUUUUCUGUAUUGGUUUUUGCCGGUUUCCCGUUUAAUUAACCGUGCUUGUUUGGUUUUCGGGCCCGGUUUCCCUUAUUAACUGGGCCAAUUCUCUUCUUCUAUAAAUUCCGGCAGGAGAAACUCCUGCCGUCGGUUCCUCGAAAAAAAAAUUCAUAUACAUAUAUAAAUCAUGAUUUGUGAGCCUAUGACCAAAGAUUAUGAUUGUCGUGCUAUGUAUCAUGACUAACAAUACAAGGAAUAAUUACGAGUUUAUUACGACCUUUACACUGGCAAAAUGUGGACAAUUAACUUAUAUCUUAAUACAUCAUGCGCUCAACGAGCUACCUCGAGUUGUCUCAUUAAACAAAUGAGUAAAAGUUCAAACUCAACUCAACUCAUUAACUGCCAAGUCGAGUUGAGUCGAGAAGAGUUUUACACAAAUUAAAUUGGGGCAAUAGCGCUUUUGACCCUGUUCUAGAACCUACCAAUUUGACCAUACUUUUUCAACUUUGCUCAUUUGACCCUCGUUUUUAAAACUGAAGAUCAGGUCUGACCCCCUUCUGUUAAAUCAACGUAACGGUGUGCCCUUCUUAUUCACACGUUUGUGCCGCCUACCUCCUUGUUUGGAACAAACAGGAGAAGACCGCGUCGCCAUCCUCUUCGAAGCAAGAAGGAGCAUCGCCACCACACAUCGUCCUCCCCGUCCAGAUCGAGGAACAGCGCCGCCACCGUCGCCGUCCUCCCGUCACGACGCGGCGCCGCCACGGAUUUACUCCCUCCGUCGCCGCCGCCGCCGCUACCGUCUUCCACGAGCUGGCGUGACCGCUCCCUCUCUCCACGAGCUGACGCCGGCACGGAUCCGCUUCCUCCGUGUCCCUCCGCCGUCGCUGCUGCCUUCCUCCACGAGCCGGCGCGUCCGCUCAUCCGCCACUGCCGCAACUCGCCCCUCCAUGCGCCGCCGCCGCACAGGAUAUAUGAGAGAGAGAAACGGUAGUGAAUGGGUAGGUUAGAUGUGGAUUGGUUUCCUUGAGGGUAGUUUGGUCAUUACAGUAUUUUUUUCUAAAAAAAAUGGAACCUUAACAGUGCGGUGGAAACAGGGUUAGACGGGGUGUUCAUUUUUGAAAAGCGGGUUCAAAUAGCAAACUAGAAAAAAAAAAGCUAGUUUAGUAGUUAGUCUUUCAAAUGAGGUCAAAUAAGUAAUUAUCCCAAUUAAAUUAGCUUACGAGUUUCGAGAUUUUUGACCAACCCCUAUUCACACAUAUCCAUCCAGCAUCAUAGACCCGGUUAAGCCCCUCCUAUUUGGGCAGGCCUACAUCCCGAAAAGGUGCUCCAUGGAAUGCCAAAACGCACCCGUCCCGGUUCCCAUUCCCAUUCAUAGCUAUCUACCACCUUUUUCGAUCGUUACGCAAUGCUCGCGCAAUAACGAAAUCUACCGCGUGCCAUACCGCCACGCAACUAGCUAGAUGCCACUCACUCGAGGUUAGUUAGGCAUGGGCAUCACAUAGCAAACUGGCCAUCCCAUAGCUUUCCUAGCUCCCACGAGACGACCCUGCACCCUGCAUGCGGCAGCACGGCGCACACGCUCCUUUCUUGAUCGUGCGCGUGGAGCCCAGACGUGACCGGCCGGAACGGACUCCGGCUUGGUUCGCCCUUGCACAGCACUGCACAAGCACAACCCGGUCGAUCAAUCGAUCGAUCAGUGAGUGCCGAAUAUUCCGCACCUACACGUGUUCACCGUUAUGCGAUGCACAAGUCUAGCUAGUGCACUUGAGGAAUAAUUUGGAUGCAUGUAUGCUGCUGCUGCGCUUUCGAAUGUCAGGAAAAAAAAACACAUGGGUGAUGAUCGAGUGAACAAUGUGUCUCAUCAAUCAGCUGGCCCUAAACGAACGAACCAUACUCUGAUUGCGUAGCAAGUACCGUGGGUGAUUCGAUUCGUGGAUUUUUCGUUCAAUACAAAGAGCGCUAACUGGUAACCUGGUGCGCUUAGAUAGGAGUAAUCAGAUACCACUGGUUAUCUGGUGCUUAGAUACCACAGGUUGGUCGACAAAUGUCCAGACCGUGUACACACCUGCACGCACCAAUGUGGCAAUGUGCAAAACACCCGGCCUCAACCUGUCGGCAAAUGCCCUCGAUCGGCAUCAAUUCCCUACCACCACGUACACCCCCGGGAAACGGAGAGUGACCGUCGAGCCGCUGGGAGGAGGAAACAACAACCGGACGAGAAGAAAGAACCAGAGCUCAAGCACCCAAACAAACAAAAAGUUCCCGGUUGAAAAUAACCUGCAGUAGCUUAGCUACUAGUAGCACUGUGAGCACUAGCUUUGUCCUGUUCCAAUCCAUGUCGUAGUACCGCUGGUGAUGCUGGUAGGACCGGCUAGAUGCAGGCCGGAUGCACCUACCUUCCUCCCCGUAAACAAACACGUACGACGUGCCAGCCCGGGACCCGAUUCGAUCGACCGGAUCAGGCAAAAAAAAUCAUACCAGCACGAAAAGCAAGCCAACCCCGCGAAAGCGGCCGCCCGGCAACCGCCGCUCCGUUCGCCUGCGGCCGCAGCAGCAGCCGCAGCGACCGUACGCUAGGAAAAAAAUUUUCCGAACGGCGCCAAACGCGCGAAGCUUCCCUCCGACCUCCCCCGCCCCGUCUCGCCCUCCGAUUUGGCGCAUGCCGUGCAACGCACCGGCCGCGUGCGCGUCGCGUCGGGGACGAGACGAGACGUCAUCUCGCCUCGGGUCUAGCUAGCCGGUGCAACGGCUGUUUCGCCCGUGUCCCCUCCCGCGCGUUGGCUUUCGUUCGGGCCAUCUGAUGAUGGGGAUCACGCUGUCACGCAGCACGCGCCGUGCGUGGCGCGGACGUGCCAGAAAAAUGCUCUCGCGUGCGUGCAUCAACGCGCGUUUCGGGUGGUGUGUGCCCGUGUGGAGUACGUAUACAACCUUUUUCCUGGUUCGCGUCAGUGCUUGGGAAGAGAUAACUGUUUUGUGUUACAUCAGGUGAAUUCAGGGUUUUUUUAUGGCAGGCAGCACGUUCACGUUAAUCGGGGAUAGACUAUCACCUAUUGGAAUUGUCAUAUGCGGUGCAUCGGUGUGAAUUAAUAUCUCGGUUCGUAAUCGUGAUUGGCUGGUGCGUUCGUGCUUACUUUAGAGCUCGUCGUGCCGGGACAAGAUGUUUCACUUCACGGUCUUCACGUCCGUGGGUGAUGACGUAUAGAUGAAAGCCUAAGAAAUUUAGCCUUUUAUUGGUCUUUUGUUUAAUCAACGAGGUAGCUGUCGAGCUUUAGGGGUGCCACGUGUACGUCCAACCCAGAGAAAUUUAGCCGUGGAUGUAGAGCCGCUGGUGAAAUGAUCGAUGUUUACUGGAGUUACGACUAGGUCAUUUGUUUGGAAAAGUAACCACUAACCAGUCAAGGUCACUGGCCAUCUGGCUCCACCUGGACAGAUUGGACGCACGCACUUGAAGUUUUGAAUAGUUCAUGACGUCUUUUUUAGUGCUUUCUUCUCUAAAUCUAAGAUGAGCAUAAUAUAUACUGUAAAAUUUGGUCAAAUCACGUGUAGGUGCACCAGAUGAUGUAGGAGUAAUUAUGUAAUGCACCGUGCGUAAUCGGUUACGGAACUGGGUAGUAGGUUUACCGAAUUGCACCAAUCCAUUGUUGGACUAGAUGAUGCAAUCGCCUUGUGAGCUUAUUUACGAACAAUAUGAUCUUAUAUUUUCUCCGUUCAAGUAUAUAAGGGAUAUUGGCCUAAUCCCUUAUCUAAAUAUAUAAGCAAUUUUACAAUCCCAAGACAAUGUUUAUCUUCUAUCCAUCAAUGAACUCAUGCACUAGUUUAAUCCUCACUUAACAACUUUGGUACUACUCCCUCCAUCUACUUUUGAUAGUUAUAUUUUCAAAUCUGAAAAAUUUAUUUUUGAUAGGUAUAUUUCAAUCAAACAACCUAUCAUCUUAAUGGCUUUCUUGGAUUUAAUACGUGACUCUCAAUUCUUUCACAUAAGAUUGGCUCUAUGGGCAUCGAGAAAUGUAAAUAUUAAUAAAUCGCUUGUUUACGAGGAAUGACUAGUAGCAUAUUUAAAUAGAUGAUAAGUAGAAUUAUCUAUCAUUGGUCUGUCUGCCAAGAUAACAUAUGACUAUCAAAAGUAGAUGAAGGGAGUAUUAGUUUAUUUUUUCAACCUUUACCUUAUGUACUGGUUUAUUUCCUCAACCAUCAUCUUUUAUACUAUGAUUUAACCCUCUUUUAACUUCCUUAAUUAUUCUCAAAAUGGCAUAAUACCAUGUAUUUAAAGACAGAGAGUACUUUGAUCGCAGAUCAUUCAGAAAGAAGGUCUAUUUUUGAGAUGAUUCAGGCAGAAAGUUUCUUUUUUUUGAGAGAGAGGAAGGCAGAAAGUUUCGACUUUCGAUCAUCUGGUAGCAAACCCAGCAAAACUUCAGCUUACAAGGUGAGCGUGAACCCGACAGGUCGUCGACCCUUCGGCUGGAUGGAGCAGCAGCUAAUCGCGGUUACACCUUUGGGCCCUUUCCUCGGUUGGGCCACUGGAAGGCCGUAGUGCUGCUCAUUGUAGCCAUUGGGCCAGUGUCACAUGGGCUUACAAUGAAAAGCCCAUGUUCUCCGAAUGAAAAAAACGUACAGAAGCAACGCCGUCUUUUCAGCUCGGAUGUCUGAAAACUCCUAAAACCCCAAAGCAGCCAGACCAGUACACACACCAUUUUGCUUGUCAAUGGCCGCCGCCGCCGCCGAUCCCCUCGUCGCCGGCGCCACCGUCUCCUCCGACUCCGACUCCGACUCCGACGAUCUCCACCUCCUCCUCCCGAAUCUCCUCCCUUCCGCCGCCACCGCCGCAUCAGACGCGCAGCUCCACCACUUCCACCUCCCCGCGCUCCCGUCCCCUAUCACCGUCCGCACCCUCCCUUCCCUCGGCCUCACCUUCCAGCUCUGGCCAUCGGCCUCCACCCUCCUCCGCGUGCUCCCCGCCUCGCCGCUCCUCCUCUCGCGCGCGCCCACCCCGGAGAGCCCGCUGGGCAUCCUCGAGCUCGGCUCCGGCACCGGCGCCGCGGGCCUCGCCCUGGCCGCGGCGCUGCCCGCCCACGCCGUCCUCUCGGAUCUCCCCGCGGCGCUCCCCAACCUCCGCCACAACGCGUCCCUCAACGCGCCCCUCCUCGACGCCCGCGGCGGCUCCGUCUCCGUCGUCCCGCUCCCGUGGGGCGACGCCGCCGCGAUGGAGGCCGUCGCUGCUCCGCCGCCGGCUUCUCGGUUCGACCUCGUCGUGGCGUCGGACGUGGUGUACUACGAGGCGUUGGUUGACCCCUUGAUUGAGACGAUGCGGUUCUUCGUCAAGGGGGAGGUGGUGUUCGUGAUGGCGCACAUGAGAAGGUGGAAGCGCACGGACAAGAAGUUCUUCGCCAAGGCGAGGAAGCUGUUCGACGUCGAGGUGGUACACGAGGACCCGCCGCUCGAAGGGUGGCGCCAUGGCCCGGUGGUCUACCUCUUUACCGAGAAGAAGCGGCGUGACAAGAAGUGAAGAAGCUCUUCCAAAAGGUAAUGACUGCCUGCUCGAUUGUGUUCGUCAUGUGUUCUUUCUGUUUGUUGUGAAAGAUCAUACUGUUAGAAUUCAAACAGAGAAAAAAAACUGAGGGCCAAAACUUGGUUGUGUGGUUGCAUAUGGAUUUGGAUGUGUCAGGUGCUAUCCUUUGUUUUAUUUAUGGAUUCUAGUUAAUUCUCAUGGAGUCACAAUGAAGUUUAGGAUUUCACUAUCUUAGAAUAACCAAUCUAAUAAUAGACGAUAUGAUUAUGAGGUGGUAGUAGCAGUACAGGACUUUAUGAUUGGCAAGGGACUGCCGAAAUUUGUAGUUUGAACAAGACAAAGUUUUUGGUUCUCAAGAACACAAGUCUAGCAUGUCUUCGUACUAGCACUUCAAAUGGUGAUGGACGGUCUCUAGAGAAAAGAUCAAUGGCACAAUUCCUCUGCAUGCAAGGAAGGAAUGACAUAAAACAUUAUGUUACUUAACAUGGAAAGUUUUUUGUUCUUUUGUGUUACUUUUAUGGAAUUGAAGUGGAGGCCCAAGAAUUAUGUGUUCCAUUGCUGCUAUUUUCCUUCAAAUUGUUCAUACAUUUAGUAGUAAGUUCCUUUUGUUAUGGGAAUAAAACUGUAGAAAUCCAUUUACACGAGGAACUGACCUUUUUCUUGUUAACAUGCAAAGCUAUCAAUAUAUUGAAAGCGAGAAAAUCAGUACAUUACAAAUUAACCCCAAGAGAAUGCAGAUACACAGGCUUACACCAUGACAUUUAGCUAUGAAACAAUAAUUGAAUCAGGGAUGUUCACAGCAUUUAGCUAGAGUCAAAUACACGUCUGUUUGCAGUUAAACUUGAGUGCCUCUCAAAAACAGUCAGCACUGCACAAAGGCAAACAUGAUAACACAAUAGGAAUACACGGCAAACCUAGUAACCAACCUCUGGCAACCGAACAGAGGGAGGGGCACAAGAAUCAUUGGUUGCACUGGACGAGCUCGUAUUUCCAUAACUGUUCGGCCUUUCCAGCUCCUUCAGUGUCCCAUUAGAUGACUGUGAAAAUCUGCAGAGAGAAAUUGGUGGUGCAAAGUACAUUGCCACUGGCAUCUUUGGUGGAAGGUCUGGUAAUGGUGCUUCAAACUUCAGUACGCUUAUGACCUGGCGAAUUGAAGGCCGGAUAUUAUAAUCUGGGUGUGCACACCAAAGUCCAACAACCAUCAAGGAAAUAACUUCCCGCUCUUCAAAUUCACCAUCAAGCCUUCCAUCAAUUGCAUUAAGUAUCUCAUUUCUUCCAUAAAGAUCCCAAACCCAUUGAACCAAACUGAUCCUGUCAUUAUCUUCCUUUGGCACAACGGGCCUCCUUCCACAAGCUAUCUCCAGAGCAAGAAUGCCAAAGCUGUAGACAUCAGUCUCUUUGCUUGCUUUCCCAGUAGUGACACACUCUGGAGCCAUGUAACCCAUGGUCCCAGCUAUCACUGUAGUUUGUGAGCCUCGGUCAUGGUCUACAAGCCGUGCGAGCCCAAAGUCCCCAAGCUUAGCGUUGAAUCCAGAAUCAAGCAUCACAUUGCUUGGCUUGACAUCACGAUGCACGACACAUUGUUCCCACUCCUCGUGGAGAUACAGGAGGGCGGAUGCAACACCUAUGGUUAUCUUGAACCGCAAUGGCCAUGCUAACAGGUUUCCACCAUCAUAGAGGUGUUUGUCCAAGCUCCUGUUUGGCAUAAACUCGUAGACUAACAAGAACUCUCCAUGCUCAUGACACCAGCCCACAAGUUGCACAAGAUUCCGAUGCCUUAGUCUGCUGAUGAUCUUGACCUCAGAGAUGUACUCCUUCCUCCCCUGUGUUGACCCUUUUGCAACUCGUUUUAUGGCAAUUUCAAUGUUUUGAUCCUUCAAGAAACCCUGGUAUACUGCACCGAAACCCCCUUCUCCAAGCUUUCUCUCUGCAGCAAAAUUAUCCGUCGCCACUACGAGUUCAUUGUAUUGGAAUCUCCUUGGCCCCUUGCCUUUCUCAAACUCACUGUCAAUGGACUCAUCACAGUCUAGUUUCUCUUUUUCCUUCUCUCUUGACCUUGUAGUCCUUCUAAUCCUUCUAAAACAUAAAAAGAAGCAAACCAAGCCAAUUGAGCAGACCACAACACUACCGCUCGUAGACAAGCUUAUGACCAAUAUACCUUUUGUUUUCUCAGUCUUCAUCAGGUGCACAUCUGUAGAAUCAAAUUCCCAGUAAAGAAUCUGGUGCAGCUCUACAAAUUUACCUGUGGAAGCAGAGAAUCCGAUGGACACUUUGUCAGGGAGAUAUUUGCUGAGAUCAACCGAAUAAGAUAGGCUGGAGUUGCCACUGAAUUGUGGGUUGUCCUGGUACGACAAGAAGACACUCAAGUUCCUUGAAUUUGCCUGGUAAGUUACCCAAGCAUUGGCUAUCCGGCCAUCGUUGAUACUACUUCGCCAUGUCACGUUGGCUACAGAUACAAUUGAGUGGAUGUUGAUGCCUACAUGGUUGCCAUCUGGAUCCCAAGUGUUUUUGUGGCUGUCAAACUCAACAGCCACAAUCUGGUUGAGUGGAUCGCUCUGAUCAUUACUAUUGCUGAAGAGGCCAAGAUAACCAUCCAUGGAGUUAUUGGGGACCACAGAAGGGUAUGAUGAGAGGAAGAAGGCUAGGCCCUCACCGUACGAACUGUCGUUCGUGGGUGCAUAUAUCUUGAACGUGAAGCGGGUUGUGAAGCUGGCUAACUGACCGGUGGUGCUAUCCCAGAGAGGCACUGGAUCGGUGUAGAUUGCUCGGCCUACGCUUUGAGUGAUCUUUCCAUUCAACUCAUCCUUGGUGAGCUUGACCGCCUUGUUGUAGAAGGCAUCCUCCUGGAGCUGAAUUGUGGCUGAUCCAUUAUGAUUUGAUUCAGUGAAGUUCAACUUGAAGGACAGAGGAUUGACAUGGGCAAUUUUCAGGGAUAGGGAAAAGUAGAGAGCCAAGAGGCAAGUAUAUUUGGUUCUUGAUCGCAUGGUUGGAAUCCUGGAGGCUGGAGAGAGAGCAGGAGGGAGAGAUGGAAGGAAGGAAAUGAAAAGACACUACUUUUGCAGACCUGAUAACCUGUAUAACCAUUAACUUGGUCAAUCUCCUUGAUUGUCUCAGCAAUACUUGGUGCUAUUAAAGGGUAGUAUCAUACUGCCGGCCUGUCAAUAGGCCCUGAAAGGACAGAUGUAAGCCACAGGAGAAGCAGCUCAAAUUUGGAACUUAACUAAGCUUUCCAAAAAGCUAGAUGAAGCUUGGUUUGUAUCGUCUUUGCCGGCCAAGAUUAUGAAGUCAAGUAUGUCUCGCCCAUAAUAUGAUUAUGGUGGUUGCCGGCAGAAAAGGAGGUUAUCUCCUCUCAGCAAAUGGAACAUGUAUUUUCUAAGGCAGAAUUGGACUGAGUUCAGACAUGCACAGAAUCUGCCAAAAGGAAAGCUCUUAUCGAUCUUAUAUGCUUAACAAACUGGGUCAUGAUGUAAUUUUUGUCUUUCAUGCGGCAUACAACAAUUUCAUGCAGCACAGGAGAGUUUAUUAAUACAUAUAGCACAAUGAUUUACCUUGUCCUUAGGGAUCAGUUCGAUGACAACUUGACAAGCAGUAAAUAUUUCUUGACUGUAAUCUCUAUUCUGGAGUUGGCACAAAUCUAUUGAGUUAUGGCAACCAAGAUCAGACGGCAGAAGUGAAGUAUAUGGCACUAUGAUAUAUCUUGCUUGUGCACUGAAAAAAGGGUUCAAACAUGGAAAAUUAACAAAGCGACCACAGCUUAUGUAUUUCGCAUAGUGUGUAGUACACAAGGAUCAGCAUCAUAAUCUCAGUAACUAGAAGAAAAUAUACACCAACUGUUCUUUUUACUAGGAGAAUAUACAUCGAUUGUUCUAUUCAUGCAGGGCUACUUAUAUACACAAAUGAUUAACUCAAAACCUGCAAGGAAUAUUCGUAAAGUACAUUAUUGAGUGGAUCUGUCAUACUCAACAUGAGUUUCAAGUUUGCUGCCAUGAAUCGAUCGUUCAUUUCGCCGUGUCGCUGGUGUUUGUGUCGUCCGUUGGCCACGCUACAGUUUCCAUUAACCUCUGACGCAUUAUCUCCAGAUUCUCAUUCGAAAUCUUCUCGUACAUUUUUGCAUGGUCACAUUUCUGCAUUGAUGAAGAGGUAACUAAUUAAAUAAUUUAUGCAUCAAAGAUGUCUCAAAUUACUCUGGAAUAUCUCACUCUUUUUUAUUACCUUGAUCCAUUUGCUGUACAAGUGGAGUCGUGUGAUCAUCACUCUCUCUGCCAAAUCUUGCCUCUCCUGGUGCAUACGAAGUCAAAUUAAUUAGAGAAUGAACCUUGGCACAAUGCUGAACAUCAUAUAUAUUUUUCUUCAUUGCUUAGUAACAAGAUGCAAAAAGAUACCUUUGCGAGUGCGAUGAGGAAAUGUUUGCCCUCCUUUGGAUCGUUAACCACGACGUAGCUGACAAAUCGUAAGUGUUCGUAUUUUAGACGCUAAGGAUGCAGAUUGGAACUGACACCAACAUUAACCUAUUCUACUUAGAUUUCAUUUCAACAUAGCACAAUAUAUCAAUGUGAGAUUUUCUUGCAAUGGGGUGACUUACUUAUACAGCCAAGUAUAAGCAGGUGGAUUCAUUUCAUACAACUGGUGGAGCACCGUGCUUGUGGCCUUGUAAGUGAAGUAAUUCAUGAUUUCCUGCAAAAUGGAGAGAACAAUCUUCAGAGUUCCAUGCAAUCUAAACCCAAUUAACCUUGCAGUUAGAGAAAAUUAACCAUUAUAUUGCUGUCGUUUACAGAUAGCGUUCCGAUUAUCCCCUGCCGGUUCAAAAAAAAAGAAAAUCGAAAUCAGUAGUGUACACGCACCGUGUGCACGUCUUCGAACCCCUCCUCGUACUGCCCGGCGAACUCGUCCACGAUGACGAGGCCGCGGCGGCCGGGCCUCCUCCCCCUCCGCCGCGCCGCCCGCGCCACCGUGCGCCGCCGCCUCACCCCGACGACGACGCCGCGGGACCACGGCAAUGGCGCCGCGCGGCACGCGGAGGAGGAUGAGGACGAGGAGGGAAGGCAGACGACCGCGGCGGCCAUCCGCGCGACGGCAGCCAUCGGCGGCGCCGCGAAGGAGAGCUAGAGAUGUUUUUUUCCCUCCCGACGGCUCGACGCCGGCUGCGACGAUGCGAGCCGCGGCGGGGUUCUGGAUAGGCAGCAGCGGUGGAUUUUUUUUGCUGAGGCUUUGGCUGAUUCUGUCCGCGAAAACAGCGCGUUUCAUGGGCUUCCUGAGGGCAAACGGGAGACCCCACGUUCGCGCCGAUAUUUCGUCCGGCAGCUCGCUGAUUGGUGGCGGAAUGGCGACGAGAGAUGAUUCUAUUUGCCUCUCUGUAUUUUCGCGAUUCCCUUGAUUCUUUUUUUUUUUGGCUUCAGAAGUACAUUUCUCUUUCAGCCUUUUCCUUUUUUUUUUGAGAAUAUUCACUUUUAGCUUUUUGUGAGAAUGUAAUUUGUGGAAUGCAUGACUGCCACCCUAAAAUAUCUUUUCUGAUAGUGAACACCAAAGUAAGGGCACUUGCGUAUGUUUAUCAUAGUGAAAGAAUUCAAGUUCUACAUUUGAUAUUAAUGUUUAUAAGUACAUUAUUUGAUAUUAAUGUUUAUAAGUACAUUAUUUGAUAUUAAUGUUUAUAAGUACAUUUUACUACAAGACAUCGCAAAUUCGUGAUUUUAGUUAUGGGACACCACAUGAAAUCACUUUUGGGGUAAGACACUAUGUAAUCUUGGUUAUUUGCUAACGGGCACGGCUCCCAUUUAUUUAGCGUUUUAGUGUUGACUAUGCAAGAGCUGUCCACUUUUUGAUGCGCUGUGACCAAAUUGCCCCUGCCCAUCCUCAAAUUGACUCACCUAUCGGCUGGCGCCGCUCUUCGUCGUGCAGUUCAUCCAUCUCGCUUCAAUCCUCGAGCUUCGCCUCCACUCACUCCUCACCUCAGACACUGUCACUCCGCCGUCACCGCAUCCUCCCCACCAGCCUGCUCUCCUCCCUCCCGACACCAUAGGCGCCACCCGCACCCACGUUGGUCGAGGCGCUUCCUUCCCCUCCACCACCGCAAACCUCAGUAUUAGGAGCAGGAGACCAGCCUCUACCAUGGUGUUGCUCGCACCCACAUCAGUCAUGGCGCUUCCUCCCCUCCACUACCGCCGUUGCGGCGGUAGAACCAGCAUGACGAGAAGGGCCUCCACCACGGCGCCACAUGCACCCACAUUGGUCGCGACACUUCCUCCUCCUCUACUGCCACAAGACAAGCGCCGUCGCGAGCCUAGCAGGAGCCCAACCCACCGCCGUCGCCCAAGCCCCCUUCCGCAGAGGAGUUGGGCUAGGGUCCACCUACCUCGUGGAGGUCAUGUCGGCGUGGCUCGUCAGCUUCUACCUAGGAGCCUAGCAAGGGAGCUGAGGGGAGCCGGACCAAGCCGCCACAGCGGAGGUGGAGGAGGCGAGGAGGGAGGGCCAGGGUGGUUGCUGAUGGCGAGCAGAGGUGGCACUGUGGCUGGAGUGUGAGAAGGACUGACCUAGGGAUAUUUUUGACGUUUCAUGUUGUUUAUCUCUCCUAUUUAGCCGGAAAUUAAUAUUUUAAUGACUAUGGUGUCCAUAAGAAAAAAAACCACAUUUUGAGAGUGCCUUCCCCUAAAGAUCGACUUUUGACGUGCCCUAGAGUUAAAAACCACGAAGUUACAGUGUCCUACAGCAAAAUUUGCCAUGUUUAUAUGAGCAUCUCAUUUGUACUAUGUUUUGAAAAAAAUCUUGUUCUAACUGAGACUUUAGCUUAGACCCUGUCACGUAGAAUGUUUUGAUACUAAUUUAGAGUAUUAAACAUAGCUUACUUACAAAACUAAUUGCAUAAACGAGAGCUAAUAUGUGAGACAAAUUUUUUAAGCAUAAUUAAUCUAUAAUUAAAGAAUUUUUACGGUAGCAUCAUAUAGGAUAAUCAUGGAUUAAUUAGGCUCAAUAAAUUUGUCUCGCGAAAUAGUCCAGAGUUAUGAAAUAGGUUUUAUCAUUAGUCUAUGUUUAAUACUUCUAAUUAGUAUCAAACAUCCGAUGUGCCAGGGACUAAAAUUUUUUAACCCCAUCCAAACUCCCCCUUAAGAAGCCCAAAUCCGAACACAACGCUUUGUAGCUGACUAGCUUAGACCUGAGGGCCUGUUUGAUAUAGCUCCAACUCCUAAAUAUAAGUCCAGGAGUUUAGUCUGGAGUAGAGUUGUGGAGCUGCCUAAACCCACCUCCACAACUCUAGUAUAUUUUGUGAGAGAGCUCCACCCAACUCCAUUCCUAAUUUUGGUGGAGCUGAAACUGUUUGGCUGAGCUCCAGCUUCAGAAGGGAUGGAGCUGGAGCUGAAGCUGUACCAAACGGGCCUGACUCUGAGAGGAAAGGCCUGACUCCACGGUCCACGCGCACCGCAUGGCGUACGCGCGAAAUGGUUCACGGACUCGCGGUCAUGCACACCCGCGAAAACCUGCGCUAAGCAAAAGCACCGGAAAAGCAACGGCACGAGCCCGUGCCCCGUGAGGCAAUGAACCAAAUUGGCGGCCGCGUCAACCACGCCACCGGGACGCGCGCGACGGCAAGAAAAAGAAGUCGCGAAGUCGCGGAUUCUGCAGGCCCCCACGAGACCACGGUUUCCUACGGCCGAUCUCGCGGGGACGCAGCCGGAGACGACGCGGUCGGUCGCGUCGCACCCCACGCCCCGGCCGGUUAGUGGACCGAUUCCCGCACCGGCACACCGCGCGCGCACCGCGUCUUCUUCUCUAUCGCGACAAGUCUGGCUUGGUCAUCGCGUGAGUCGAUCGCCUCGUUGCUUUCCGUGGCCGCGUCCGUCGCCGCCUCGCGCACCAGCGAAUCCGGACGUCGACCGCUGCCUGCGGAUGUUGUGGACAGCUCACAGUUGGUGUUCCUCUGAAUGCACAGGCGCCGUGGUUCCUCUCACUUGGUGUGCAAUUUACCGUGAAAUCCCAGUGAGAUAUAACCUACGUCUUCGUAACGGUCUCCCGUCUUAACUCCGAGUCUCUGACUAACCGUGAACCUGAUGAUGCAGUUGCUAGCCUCAUCGCGUGCGACGAAAUAUCAAAUGAUGUCGUCCGUGUUUAGAUGACUUCUUUUGUACUCCUGCACUGUCUGUCGAUGUCAUGGCAGUAGGUGCCUCCUUUCACCGACUCCACCUGCUCCAGAACAAAGCAGGUACCAACUGUUACAAGGAAAAAAAAAUCUGUAUUUUCCAAUACUGUCUAUUUUUAUUAUCUUGCUUUGAAUACUAACCGGGUAUUUAUUUUGGAUUAUAGAAAAGAAGUACACACCAUUAUGCACACACUUCAAAUAUUCGUAAGCCAGUAGAAAACGGAAUUGUGCAGGUGGCAAGCAUUCUCUUUUCUAAAAAAAAAAUCAAUAUCAUAAAUCACAUUCAUUUUUCUAAAAUAUUUAAUUUAUUAUUAAAAUUAAAUCAAGUAGAUAAUAAUACAUGGUAAUAAUUCAAUGAAUAACCCAUGCCAAAUAGAGUCAACAACAUUGUUCACGUUUUCGACAAAAACAAAAUGAAAGCCACCAAAUUAUAAGGUUUCGACGUUGAACACAAGCAGAUUCUAAGUAACUUUUCAAAUGAUUUUCAAGAAUUUAAAUUUGAAAUAAUAAAUUUGAUUGGAAUUUAUCAAGGUUCAUGAAAACCGUCAUAAGAUCGGGAUCCAAUGCUCAAUUGAAAAUGUGAGACCCUGCCAACAACGGCUGUGUUUAGAUCCAAAGUUUGAAUUCAAACUUCAGUCUUUUUUCAUCAUAUCAACAUGUCAUACAUGUAUAACUUUUCAGUCGCAUCAUUUUUAAUUUUUUAAAAAAAUUUAACUUUACGCUGAACUAAAGACAGCCAACGAAUCAAAGAGGGUUAUAGCCAUCCCGGCCGUUUUCGGCCCGGGUCAAAACGUUAUGUAUGCUACUCGAUUUCGUGCCCCCACACCCUUGACGAGCGAGCCUUGCCCUCUUCUCUUCCCUUCUCUCCUACCGGCGGCAACUACCGGGAAGCCGCCGCCGACCGCCGGAGCGGAGUCGUCGCGGCGGCGAGGGCGAAUCGGUAACCCCCCCCCCUCCGGAGUUCCGGGAUGGGGACGCCGGAGUUCCCCAACCUGGGCAAGCACUGCAGCGUCGGCGACUGCAACCAGAUCGACUUCCUGCCCUUCACCUGCGACCGCUGCGACCACGUACGUCUUUCCCGUCUCCUCCCCUGGCCGUUUUCGUGUCUCGGUGCCUCGUUGCCGAAAUCGGAUUUGCUGCUGCGGUAGUUUUUAAGGAAAUUUGUUCUUCUGUAGAUUGUGGAACCAAAGAACUGAUUCUUCCUGGAAUUUUUGCUUGAUAUACGGUUUCUUGAAGUAGAUCUUGGAAAGCACCUAGUUUAGGGAAAAUCUCGUCUGGGCUUUAGCCUUUAGGACAGUGAUCCAUCACAAUCGAGGAGAUGGAGAAGGGAAAUUCAUGCCAAUGCCUAGGCAGCACGAAUGGAGAUCUUUUUUUGACCGUUUGGUGGAUGAGAGUUGAUGUGUCUAUCGUUGACCGAGAACAUGAUGACCCUUUCGGUGAUGCUCUUGCAGUUUUGCGCCCUUUUGGAUAAUUAGUUUCAUCUACUAAUUGAAUGCUAUGUAGCCAAUCACAUAAUUGGUCAGAAUUGUUGCUUCAAUAAGAAUGAAAUUGAUCUCAGACAAAAUCUGAAACUGGGCUUAAGAAUGCAAUGGGUAUGGUUUCAAAUUUGGAACGGGGAAAAGGAGGAUUUAGUUGACAAGGAGUCCUUCAUUGUUAGCUUGUUGCCUAUGGUUGAAUGCACAUAAUGAUAGGAAAAAAAGAACUGAAAAACAGUAGUGGAAGUGUGGUAUUUAUUCACAAUGCCAUUCAUAUCUGUAUUUUGUGCCAGAAACAUGCCCUCUAGUCAUUGUACUGUUUCUUUGUUGCCCUCUAGUUUCUUUCGUUGACAUCACAGCAUGCAGCUCCACUGGAAUCAUGACACUCUGGAAUUACACACCAUAUAGGAGUAUGCGUUAUUGCAGUGUUCAAGCAUAACUCAUCCUGAGUAGCACUCCAAGGUCUUGAGUUCAAAUCUCCAUAGGAGCAAAUUUCAGAUUGGGUUAUUUGAGGGCUAAGUUCCCUGUUUGAUAGGCUAAGUUCCUAAUUUAAAAGGCUGCAUAUAUCCGGUUGGAUGUAGAGGCCGGAUAAAAAAUACCCUUCUCUAAAAAAAAAAGCAUAACUCAUAGACAUUUUGGGUUCAAAAUUUUUCCAUAAUUUAUUAUUUUUGAAUCCUUUCCACUUCAUGGCUUCCCGAAUGUAAAGUAACAUUGCAUCAACAUCCAAUUGGCAGCACUGACAUGGUUAUUUGAUCAUUGUUUAGGUCUUUUGCCUUCAGCACCGAAGUUAUACAUCGCAUCAGUGUCCAAAUGCAAAUCAGAAGGAUGUGACUGUCCUCAUCUGCCCACUCUGUGCUAAAGGAGUUCGCCUGAACCCGAACGAAGAUCCAAACAUCACCUGGGACACCCAUGUCAAUAGUGACUGUGAUCCAUCAAAUUACCAGAAAGUAACAAAGAAAAAGAAAUGCCCAGUGCCUGGGUGCAGAGAGACACUGACAUUUUCAAACACAAUUAGAUGCAAAGAUUGCACCAAAGAACACUGCCUGAAGCAUAGAUUUGGACCUGAUCACAAGUGUCCAGGGCCAAGAAAACCGGAAUCUACAUUCCCCUUCGGAAAUAUGCUUAGGAGAAGUCAGAAAGCAGAAUCAUGUUCAAAUUCAAACAGCAGUAGCACUAGUUCAUCCUGGUGGAGCUCUAGUCUUCUUACCGCAGCAACGAGUUUCAAAUCAUCUGCUGAAGCUGGGAUGCAGAAAUUGAGCACAGCAACUACCCAAGCCAUCCAGAAGGCUAAGGAUGGGAUCUCGACAAGCAGCAGUAACAGCGGUGAUCUCGUGGAGCAAUGUGUUCAGUGCCCAGCAAGAUUUUCCACCGUGGGGGCCUUAAUCGAGCAUUGCGAAAAGUCCCAUCAGAGCAACUCGCAAUCAAGUCGUAGCAGAGUGACGGUCGAUGUCUGCCCGAAAUGCAGCAAGGCAUUUCGAGAUCCAGUGUUGCUUGUGGAGCAUGUUGAGAGGGACCAUGGAGGAACGUCAAGAGCGUAGAUCUGCUUAUGUUUACUGUACCUGUGUAACCUGUAAUUUGCUUCUCAUUGGUCAAUGGUCAUCACACUCAAUAGGAUUUGGUUGGAUUGUGCUCUAUUAUUACGGUUGGGUUCAAAAUGUGCCCAUGAAAGAAGGUAUAGUUUGUUGGCUGUUUCAAGGCAAGCCAUUGUGAAUUGAACCUCAUUCUAGACACCAGGAAAUCAAAUUUCUGAUUAGUUAAAACAAUGCGUCGUUUAGAUGGCUAUGCUGUUGCAAGUUACAAAUAUUGCCUUCUACCAGUUUGUUAAUGGUGAAAUGGAAUUCAUAACCUCACCGUGCAUGCACAGGAAUCCACUGUAGUUACAUUACCUGUCACCAUUGACAACCCUUGCAACAGGGAACAUCAUCCUUUGGUCUGCUGAAUAAAGGCGAAGGAUUAUUUUCACAUGGUUUGCAUCCCAGAUGCUAAUUGAACACUGAGAGAAACGUGAGUUUCCCAAUGGUUAAAACCACGUAAGAAAUUUCGAAUUUGUCCCUAAAUUGGACGUCUUUUAGCCGUCUAAAAUCCUUUUUGUUCAACGGAUUUGGUCGAGAUAUAAGCCGAAAAACAAAUAGUGAAACGCGUUCCUGAAGCCCAUCAAAGCAAACCUGCCUCGAACACCUUGGAUCCUGUGACCCGGCAUCGUUACGACGCUCUAGGAAUUGCGAAGACGAAUGGCCAUGAUGUUGUGGUGACGAACGGCUGCUGUUGCUGUAAAAUCAAAUUGUUUUUUAUUCUUAUUCUGCGAUGAACAAUUGGCAUCUGAGAUUAUUGAUUUUGACAUUUGAAGAUUAUUGGCGAAGUGGUUUUGGAAAUAAUUGAUUUUCAGAUGAUGAACAAGGUUUGUUGUUUUGUCGUGUCCGGUCAGACCGGCCAGGUGCUCUGUGUCGACUCUGUGUCGACUUCGGGUUGUUUGUUUAGAAAUCCGUGGAUGUUUCGUGUUUAUGGCUUCUAGAUGGAUCCUAUGUGUAUGUAAUACUGUUGUUUGCUAACAAUGAGUCAAGUUGAAAAUAGCUUGGUCUUGGAAUAUGGUUUCCUUGUUUGAUUCAUGUGUAGGUGACCUGAUGCCUCAGAAGAGUAUAGUCGGUGAUGGAUCGGGAGUCGACUUGGAGAUAAGGCGACGUCCGGACGAUCGGAUAUCAUGCGGGAUACUUAGGCUAAAGAUCAAUGCACGUGGUUGGUGAAUAUUCCAUAUGACAUACGAUGGAGAUAUUGUGUGCGUAUGGGAUGCGGAGGCCAUUCCAGGGCUGUCGAACCGGGCGGAUCUAUACCGGUCAGACCGGCGGCACAAGCACGAUCAAACUGGCAGAUCAACCUCGAUUAGACCGAUCUAUAUCGAAAUUGAGGGUAACUUUUAAUUCCGCUAAAAAUUUUGGUUUUUGGGUACACCAACCAUUCACCCCCUAUGGUUGACUUAAUUCUUUCUACGGAGUUGCUAGAAAUAUGGCGUCAUAUGCUACAGUCGAUUUUUUUUCAGCCACUUACACAGUAGUUACACCUCAUUUACAUCCUACUUACAUAUGUAAUUACUAUGUAAUUUUUGAAUUUACAUAUGUAAUUUUAGUACUUACACAUGUAAUUUUGAGACUUACAUUGUAAAUACAUUAAAAUUAGAUAUGUAAUUUAGGGACUUACAAUGUAAAUACAUGCCGACUAUUUUUUUUUGAUGAAAAUAUAGUGCCAUAAAUAUAGCUACACCCUUCUUUCUAUUCGAUCCUACAGUUGUGAGGGUGACGCGCGCCGAUACUGGCGGCAAGCUAGCAAAUCAGAAGUCCGGCGAUGGCAUCCAAGCGGGAAAUCAAUGUCCAAAAUCCGGCAACAAGGACAAUAGAAAGGUCUUGGUUAGUGUGCUUGACUAGGUUGCCGUUGAUUUGUGUUUUGACUUUUGAAAAGACUACUGUUACUAGGUUAUUCCCCAUAGUGUGUGCAGUCGCAGCGAGGAAGAUUGGCCAUUUCUUUGCGUGGCUCAGUCAUUAGUUAGUGGAUCUCAGGAAGAAAGGGGAGUGUUCUGUACAGGGUGAAAUUACAUCAACUACUGAAAAAAAAAAUCCACCUCUCUGAAUACGCCCGCCAUCUUCCAUCUCCUUGAUGUCCCCAAACAUCCGAAGUGGCGUUCGCGCUUUCUGAUUGAAGAUCAUUUCGUUCCUUUCGUUCCACACCGCUCAGGUUACCAGCGUCAAGUUACAUUUGUUUUGGACCUCUAAUUGUUUCUUGAAUUCUCUUCUCCUAGUCAGAUAUCGCUGCCGCCAUUAAUUUGUUCCCCCCUUUGGGAAAAAAAAAUAUUUUGAGCUUGUGCCAAGUUAGUCAUGGGUGCCAAGAGGAGCUCAAUGAUCCCCGCACUCUUGCUCCUCGCUUCCUUGUCCAUCUUCAAGCUACCUUGCUUCUCCAGAUCACUCUCUUUCAGCUACGAUUUCUCCAAGCCCACCACUUUCAAUCGUUCCGACAUCGCAAUAGAUGGAUCCGCGAGUCUCAAUGGUCUCAUCGAGCUCACGCAGAACGCUGACCCGAAACGUGAAGGCAUAUACGACACGGUGGGCCGAGGGUCCUACGGCCAUCCGGUGCCGCUCUGGGACGAGGCCACCGGCGAGGUGACGAGUUUUACGACGCGCUUCUCGUUCGUCAUCAAGUUUAACUAGUCAGACAAGGCCAAGUACGCACCCAGCGACGGGCUUGCCUUCUUCCUGUCACCCUAUCCGUCAAAGAUGUCUCCACUCGACGGCGGUGGAUUGCUCGGCGUCUUCACCAACAGCACUGGCAUGAAUCCGUCCGCCGCCGCCCCGAUCGUCGCGGUGGAGUUCGACACGUUCCAAAAUGAGUGGGACCAGAGCAGCGACCACAUCGGCAUCGACGUCAACUCCAUCAACUCGACCGCGGUGAAGUUGCUGUCUGACCGCAGCCUCUCCAACGUCACCGAGCCGAUGGUUGCGUCGGUGAGCUACAACAACAGCACAAGGAUGCUGGCCGUCAUGCUGCAGAUGGCCCCCCAAGAUGGCGGCAAGAGGUACGAGCUCAACAGCACGGUUGACCUCAAGAGCUUGCUCCCCGCGCAGGUGGCCAUCGGAUUCUCGGCGGCGAGCGGGUGGUCCGAGGAGCGGCACCAAGUACUCACCUGGUCUUUCAAUUCGACAUUGGUGGCGUCUGAAGAACGGAGAGAAAACGCAACGCGAGGUAGGCCGGCCGCUGCGGUGCUUGCAGGUGUCGUUGUAGCAUCCGUCGUCGUCGUCGGGGCCUCGAUCUGUUUGUUUGUAAUGAUCAGGCGGCGUAGGAUAUCUCGCCGGCGGACGAGAGAAGAGUACGAGAUGGGCGGCUCCGACGACUUCGACAUGAACGAUGAGUUCGAGCAAGGCACCGGUCCGAGGCGAUUUCUGUACAGCCAACUGGCCACCGCGACGAACGACUUCUCCGAGGACGGGAAGCUCGGGGAGGGUGGCUUCGGGUCGGUGUACAGGGGCGUCUUGAGCGAACCGGCCGGCGUCCACGUCGCCGUCAAGAGGAUCUCCAAGACCUCCAAGCAGGGGAGGAAGGAGUACGCCUCCGAGGUGAGCAUCAUCAGCCGCCUCCGGCACCGGAACCUGGUGCAGCUCGUCGGCUGGUGCCACGGCCGCGGCGACUUCCUCCUCGUCUACGAGCUGGUGCCCAACGGUAGCCUCGACGCGCACCUCUACGGCGGCGGCGCGACGCUGCCGUGGCCGACCAGGUACGAGAUCGCGCUCGGGCUCGGCUCGGCGCUGCUCUACCUGCACUCCGGCUACGAGAAGUGCGUGGUGCACAGGGACAUCAAGCCCAGCAACAUCAUGCUCGACUCCGCCUUCGCCGCCAAGCUCGGCGACUUCGGGCUGGCGAAGCUCGUCGACCACGGCGACGCCUCGCAGACGACGGCGGUCCUGGCGGGGACGAUGGGGUACAUGGACCCGGAGUACGCGGCCUCCGGCAAGGCGAGCACCGCGUCCGACGUCUACAGCUUCGGCAUCGUGCUGCUGGAGAUGUGCUGCGGGAGGAGGCCCGUGCUGCUCCAAGAACAAUCCAUCAGGUCCCGCCUCCUCGAGUGGGUCUGGGACCUCCACGGCCGCGGCGCCAUCCUCGAGGCGGCCGACGAGCGGCUGCGCGGCGGCGAGCUCGAGCUCGACGCGAAGCAGGUGGAGUGCGUGAUGGUCGUGGGGCUCUGGUGCGCGCACCCGGACCGCGGCGUGCGGCCGUCCAUCAAGCAGGCGCUCGCCGCGCUCCAGUUCGAGGCUCCGCUGCCGGCUCUUCCUCCGACGAUGCCCGUGCCGACGUACUCCUCCUUGCCGAGCCUUGCAUUGUACUGCGACGCGGCGGCAGCUAGCUCGUCGUCAUCCAGUGCAGGGUUUUCUUCUUCCACGAGUGGCGAGCGUUCGUCGACGAGCUCCUCUGCAGCAACCGCCGAGUCGUCGUGGCUACUUAAGCACAACAACAGGGGCAGUGAAAAAAUAGUAUUAGGCAACAAUUGAUUAGAUCAUAUCUUUAGUUUGAUGCCACCUUGAUGUUGCUUAGCUCUUCGUUGUUUAUGUGUAUUGUUCUUCCUUGGGCCGCCGUGUCAUUUGUGAUAUGUACCUCAAUUCAUAUCUCCUUUUCUAUAUAUGCGUUUUCAACUUUCCUAGUAUAGCCUGCUAUCUUUGAUCUUAAUUGAAUGUCACAAGCCGAGUCACUGUUUCGCGAAACGACAUAUUUGCAAACGAAAAGUAAUUUGUGAAUAAAACUUUUAUAUACGUGUUCUUUGCGAUCUAAAAGUAAAGGCUAAAAAAUAAUUUCGAUGAAAAAAAUUUCUCAAAAUCAGUUUCAAAUUUAAGGUUGAAAAUUCAAAUUUUGACUAAUAAUUAUAAGCAUAAGCGAAAAGACGAGGAGCAUAAGCAUAAGCAAAAAUUCAAAUUUUGGCGGGACAAAGGAUUGCGAUCUCGUGAAGGUGAGCUAACUCCAAAAAUCCGUCCUCGGUUCGGAUUGUAGGUUGCAACUCAUUUGCAUGAAGCAGGAAUCGCUAGUAAUCACCGGUUAGCCAUACGACGGUGAAUCCGUUCGACACAACGCCCGUCACACUAUAGAAGUUGACUAUGUUUGAACUCAUUAACCUUAACCAUAAGAAGGAAGAUGCCUAAGGCUAGGCCUUUGACUAGAGUGAAGUUGUAACAAGGUAGGGCAUGUCUGGGGGAGCUUCUGGCAGCUGUAGUUUCUCUCAGAAUCAGAAGCUCUACCUAACAAUUCAGUUUUUUUGUCCAAUUUCUGAGAACCUAUAAUUGUAGAAUCUAGAAAAAUAAACUAGAAGCUAGAAGCUGAAAAACUCCAGACUCUCAGAAGCUGGAAAACUUCAGACUCUAAGAAGCUGGCUAUGAACCAGCUGCUUAUAAUUUUAAGCUCCCCAAACAGGCUCAUAGUCGUACUGGAAGUUGCAGCUGGAUCACCUCCUUUUUCAUGAGCUAAUACUUACGUAUUUUGGUUUGACAUUAAUUGCUUCAUGCCCAAAAGGAAGGCAGCUACGUUUGAGCUAAAUUUGGAUAUGGAAGUCUUUUUUCGUUUAGGGCAAAGUACGACCAAGCUCAUGAGCUUAUUAUCCUAUAUCGGAACAAUUACUAGUUGAUAUUGAUAGGAUCUCCUUUUUAAUGGCCCCACACCCUCCUGUGUGGUGUGUGCGGUGUGGCAGAUGGGGAUAUCAAAAGGAAAGGGAUAGAGUUUUUCUCGUUUUUGGUAUAGCAUACCUUCUUUUGGGAGGCCUGCAGCCCCACACAAUGAGCUCCCUCAUAAUUGCGUCGUUGUGCCUAGGUAAGGAAUUUUGAAUUUUUUUUCUCUGAAUUGGACAUCUUUAAGCAGUAUAAAAUCUUUUCUGUUCAAAAGAGCCGAAACAAAAACUGUUCGAGAUAUGAGCCGAAAACCAAAAGUGAACCCGUUCAUGAAGCCCAUCAAACGCAUGCAGCUUAACCUCGCCUGAUUCAGCAGCCCAGUUGAAGGUCUUCAAAUCGUAGGAUUUGAACCCUCGUGAUGAAUCCACAAGGUGAUCUCCCGUGUGUGUUAGACUGUUAGUCACCCUUGGUGCCAGCAAAAGGAAAAUGAAAAGGUCAUUGUACAAGGGCCCAAAAAAUAUAAGAACAGUUGAAGCAGAGAAGUAUGAACAUAUAUCCACAAAAAGUUCCUUUAAGAAUGAUAUAGAUGAUCGUGAUUAGAACCCACAAAGUGAUCGCCAGGAGAAUUGAAAGGUCUAGGCUUGACUAGUGUAUCGAAAGAAAACUGUGGAAAUAUAGAUGUAUCAACAUAUGCCCACAAUAAGAACGAUCGAAAUUACGUGUAAAGAUUAUUCUUUCGAAAUUUGCAAGCAUAAAAAAAAAAAAGACCUAUAGCUUCAUCUGACCAACACCUCCCUUGAAUGAACCGUAUAAAGGUCUCGACCUCCUGAAGCUGAAUAUAUCGGUUAUUUGAUACGAGUGCGGCUGUGGCUCAUCGUGAACUAUCUUUUCGUACUCGGAGGAAUGGAGACCGCCGUAAACUUGAAUGCUAAGAAUUUUCUUUUGUGGUGCAUUAACUUUGACAUGAUUAUUGAAGAACUCAAUCAACUCCUCUUUAUUGAGAUCCCUCAGUGCAGCAACCUGCAGCAAGAGAACUCCAGGUAUAAAAAAAAAUGACACCAUAGGGACAAAAUUACAGAAAUAGAGCAUACCUCCGCCUCUUUUCUAUCAAAUUUCAGAGUUCCUUCCGAAAUUUCUUUCCAGAAGAACGCUGAUUCCUCUCUUAUAUUCUUGUAUUUCUCCAGCUUCAUGUCAAUGAGAGCAUUCACGUUGCUCUGCAGGUAACAGAAGUGACUGUUUACUCUGUAUAAUGUCAAGUAUACAACCAUACAAUAGAGCUACAGCAACCUUCGGCCGACCCGGCAAAAGAGCUACAGCAAGCUAUAACAGAAGCCAACAAAUACUGACAGCAAUCAUCUUACCUUGAACUCUUCAUCAGGCAUUUGGUAUAGAGUCCCUUCAAACAUAUUAAGAAAAGCUUCCACUCUGUCAUCCAGGUUUGAUGGAUCCUGUUUAAGUAACUUCUUAGAACAGGAGAUAAAAAUGAUCCAGCAGUUGAAAUUGCAUUGGAAAAUAUAUUUACCUUCACGGUUGACUGAAUUAUGAAUUGCAAUCCCCGAACACCUGAAUCAUUUCUGGGUAAACAAGAUAGUGUGAACAAAGAUUUAGAGGAGUUGCAUGAGCAUGACUACUAAGUCCCAUUACCACAUACCAAUGCAAAAAAGUGCUGCACAUCCUUUUGCAAUAAAGAACACAAUUAAAAUAAAGGCAACAUCGUACCUUUGUGUAAGCACUGUUAUGUAGCCAAGUUGCUCAACUGAACGCAAUUGGUGAAAAGCUGGUUGCUUAGCAACAAGAGCAAGCAAUUGAAGUAGAACAUUUUGUUUGAGAUCAUCCUGAUGAAUCUGUGCAGUGGAAACAUUGUUAUAGCAUUGAAAUGUGUAUUGCAGGUAUCUUCCAGGAAAAACUAGAUAUGGUUGAUGAGAGGCUAGAGUAAGAAAAAAAACUGGAUGUUCAGGUAUUCUUCUGUAAAUGCAAAAGAGGUCCACAGAGAAAACAUCAAAGAAGUGCAAAGGCAUACCUGAAUAUAAUGCAGGAUGGAAGAAUUUUUUUCAUCCUGGUGAUUUAGGCACAAUGCUGGAUAAUAAUACCUCCAACCCCUUUCAAGUUUUACAAUUCGCUUUGUAAGAUGCUGUGAUGGGGGUAAUGCUUUGCAGAAACUGAUGGGUGCAUUGAAUAAGGUGUCUUCAACAUGCUGUAUAACACUUUUUGCUUCACCCGGUUCCAUGUUCCCUAAUAUAGUAAUAUCGAUCACAUACAGAAUUAAGAACAUAAAAUAAGUACACCCUUCUUAAUGAGAAAGAAUCAAAAUAAUGAAGUUAGUUAUUAAACAAACCAGCAAAAUAGCAUUCAAUAAAUGUCUUGCCCAGAAGACGAGGCAAAAAAAUCUGUAGAUCGCUUGCUUCAAUAUGAGAAACUGCAGCAAGUUUUUCAUCCCAUGCCCAAGUUUGUUCCUCUAAUAUCAAUGAACAAUAGUAAAAUGCCUGCUCAUAUGGUUGUCGAAAUUUGAAAUUCUCGUAGUCCUUUAUUAUAGUUUCCUGAUGACAGCAACAAAAUAUGAACACACGCAGCUCAUGUAAUGUAAAAUGCAUAGAAUGCUAAGUUAAUAUUGCAUAAUCAGGAAGAUAGAAGGUACGCUAGACAUCCUAGGCAGACACUCUUUUGUCCUUCAAGACAUCCUAGGCAGAUAGAAAGUACGCCAUAUUUAAUCCAAUUAGAAUUCUAUAGAUAGAAAUGCAUAUAUUAGGAAAUAUCACAACUGUUGUUUAUAGCUUUUUAGUCCCGUUUCUGCACUGUUUUUUCCUAAAUGAAAGUAGCUCAUGCUUCUGACAAGGAAUCUCCUGACUGUUUUAUACAUGUCCAAAUGACAACCAAAACAAAAAUUCUAGCAGGUCUGCAGAAGAUAUUUUAACAAAGAACCACAUGUAAACUGAGCAUGGCCGUUACCUUUAUAACAGCAAAACGGUCAACCUUCACUUCAAACUCAGCAAUUUUUCCAAUGACAGUAUCCAGAAGGGUUCUCAUUUUGUCAUUAUAACCGACCAUAGUUAUCUGUAAGGAAAUCAUAAAUAUUGGACGGUUAGAAAAUAAGAAGAUUUCAUAAGGAAAAGUCUCAUAACACGCCAUGAAUUAUGACUCGUUUAGAAGGAACAGUUGAGUGAUAGAUCGCAAUUUACAAACAUACAUAACAAAGUUUUACAAACAUGCAACACACCAACAGUGUCAGCCACUCAGCCUGCUACCACACAGUAUACAUGAAAAAGUAACAGGGAUUAGGUAAUAUUGACCAUUUAAUCUAAUAUAGAAUAUAAUGCCAUUUGUAUAUGCACAUAUGAAAAAAGAAAACAAAUGGAGAAAAAGCUGCUGUAAGACUGUAACUUAUGAAAGCACAUAGCCAUGUACAUCUUCUAAUUACAGUACUAAUGAUGUCUUUAUUGCAAACUAGUCCAGUUAAGAAAAUGUACAUCUGAACCAAUAUGUGGAAAAUAGUUCCAAGUGUCAAGACUGAUGAUAGCCUACUUCUUGCUUCUAUAUGCAACAGGAAUCAGGAUUUUAAUAUUAAAGAUUAAAUGAGAAUCGAAUGGCAAGCAUCUGCUUAUUAGUAACACAUAUUACCAUUUUUUUCAUACUUGCGCAAAUACAGUAUGUGUUUAAUUAGGAGAAACAAAAAAGUUUGAGUAUAGAAGCGCUAUCGGUAUUGAUACAUAUUGACUGAAGAGCUUGGUGUCAUGGUGUGCAUCAUGCAUGGGUUAUGCGCAUCAGAUGGAACACAUUGUAUGAAUAUAUGAUGCAGGAAGGCCUGCACCAUAGUACGAUUGUCACAUGACAACCAUAUCAGCAGCAUGCAACAAGUACCAACAUAGAUGGGUAUAAGAGUGUUCGUACUGGUUUAGGUGAAAACAUGGCUAAAGGCAACUAACAUGAUGAAUAAAGUAGGUGGUAUAAAAUUAUUGUGUAGUUGGCAAUGGGCAUGUGGUAUGUGCCACACCACACAAGUUUAAUGUCAGUGGAAAACCUUUUAUUUGGUAACUUCCAAGCUGCGAUGCAAUAACCCUCGGGCAUUUGACCAAGAAUAUUUUUCAAAAAUAUAUGCACUUUGUGAUCCCCAGGCAUAUUUCCCCAAAAUACCCCUUCUGACUGUACCUAUCUCCGUAUGUUUCAGUGCUCUGUUGAUUGUGAGAUAUUAUUAAAGGGUACUUUCAUUACAUUCUAAAUAAAUUGUUUUUUCGUUUUGAGAGGGUAAGCCAGUAGAUUGUAAUUACUUGGAUAUAUGCAAUUUAGUCAAAAGUAAUAAAUAUUCAAAGUGGAGGGGAGUUAACUUAUAUCAAUGCAACAGUUCAAUUUCCACAACAACCAGGAAUUCCUUCUGAACCCGCAGGAAUAUCAUAGAAUUUUCACAUAAAACAGGAAUCGGGGAAAAUUCCGUAUCCCAAACAGAGCCUAAGAGAAGUAUGAACAGCAGGACCCUCUUUACUAAAAAUAAAAAGAAGAUUCAGCAAGGACAAUUAUUUUCAAUAAUCCAGUAUAAUUAAUGCUCACAAGGAGUCAAGUUAUUCAAUCUUUUCUGAUAUAAUUAGUGUGAUGUUUCCAUCAACACUGCAUCAUCUGGAUUAGCAAUGAAGAUAAACAAUCAAUUAUGUCAUGCAAACUGUACAGCUAACCUGAAAUCCAGUGUCACUUGGCCUAAUAAAGUAGUAAAGACCAGCAAUUUGAGCAUCAUAAGCUGAAAGCAAAACAAAGUUGGUGGAUUAUUGCAACAGAUAAAUGAACCAAAGGCAAACUAACCAGAGGAUGACCAUGUCCUUAGUCCCUCUAUUUUCUAGGAUUGAUAACUGUAUGUGGAGAACGAGUUCUUGUUUCGGCCAACAAAAAGAAUUUUCCAACUUCUCCAUUAGUAUAUGUCAAUUUUAUGAUAGAACAUUGUAUGAAGAGAAGUUUGAAAUAUACUAAACAAUUUCAUGAACCUGUGCCAUAAGAAUCAUAAAAUAUUGAGAUAUCUCAUGUAUUACUACAUACCAAAAUCAUUCAAAUAAUCCAUUAUCAACCUCGUGAACAUAUCAGUAAGAACUGUCGAUUCAGGAGAGCUAUUGGACAGUGGACAGUGGAAAUCCAUCUUGACGUAGGCCUUGGGUGUGAAGAACAUUGUAUCAGGCUUAUACCAUACUCUUGAAAACAUUGUUUUCCUAAGCAUACAAGGAAAACUUCCCUGGAUAAACCGAAAAUAUCAAUAAAGUUUCACAAAAUAAAAUUAUGAGCAUUUUUUUUUAAUAAAAAAUACCUUUUCCUCAACAUUUUUCAAUGAAAGAUCACUUGGAAUGAAGAUAUUAGGUUUUGGAAUGUGCAAAUCUUCCAUGGGAGCCAUAUUUACCCAUUUCUGUACAAAUUAUGUUAGAAAUGUGUACAAUUCCAAAUAUAUUAAAUUGGAGAAUAUGAUAGGAACAGUAACAUCCAAAUGUACACCUGUAUGAUGGAAGGAGUGACUGCUUCAACUGAAUAUGAUGUACCAUACCAAGGCUCUGUUAAGUUUGUUUGCCCUUCAAACUUUUUUGAUUCCCAGAAUAUUCUGAAGGAGAUGAAGAAGAUAACCCAGAAGUAUUAACACCCGUAAGUAAAAGUCACAAUGAAAAUAAAAUCUAAACAAACAGAUCAAGUGUGUGAAAGGAAAAAAUAAAGCAAAUGGCCAUAAGAGGAUCAACGAUGAGUGAGGAGCCUGUUGCUGCUUUUUGGAAGUUAACAAUAAAAAAAAUGCAAAGGGACAAGUAAUGAAAUUUCUUCCGCUUUCUCUGAGAAAAAAAGCUCAAAUUUAUGAAAAGUAGUGAAAGUUCUCUUGGCUGUGCCAUCCUUCUAGAAGAGCACUAUAGUGUUUUAUAAUUGAUUAGGCCAAGAGGAGUGUGAAGCGACAGCUAAAUGCAAAGACCGAUCAUUUUCCAAACUACAUGCAGUAGUUGAAGAGUCACAAUAAUAAGCAUAUGCAUACAUUAUACUGUUAUUGCUGAAAUGAACAACCAACUCAAAUUGGCUAGUCCCCAAUUCUGUAUGAUAACAUUAAAUGCAUGAGAUUACUGUCGUGAAUAGAAUACACAUUGUUGUAUCUUUGCAGUCUCAUACUGAUCCGAAAUUUUCCAUUCGAAAUUGUGGGAUACAAGAUGUGCUGGAAGUGCUCCUGAAAAAUCCUAGGAAUCAUGUCUAACCUAAGUGUACGGGAAGAAGCAUAUGAAGAUUUUACAAUGUGGUACAUGAACCAUUCAAGGCAUCAAAGAUAUGUAGCACAAAUGAAUUAAUAUAGAUAUGAGUUUCCUAAGAAAGUAACUUUUGAAAUACUCCAAAAAAGAGAGUAUAAUACAUAAAAUAUAACUUUUCAACAAACAUGUGCUGAAUAUUAAAACAUAAAAAACUAUGACUAAACCUUAAAACAGAACAGGAAAACCCAACAAGGCCAUAUGGCCUGGAUGUACUCAAAACCUACCUAACAUUAUCUGGAGUCAAGUCAUUUAAUAUAUUCUGAAUAGCAUCUGGAGAAAACUUUGAUGGCACAGAUGAUGCAAUCAGCCAAUCUUCCGGCGGAAAGAUCUAUAAUAGAGAGAGAUCAUGAGAUGGUGAUACUGAGCAGAAUUAAUUUGCAAUUUAUGAACAAACAUUUUGGCAUAAUUUAUUAGGAGGAACUGAUCAUUUCAUUGUUCAAUGAAAUAUCAUGAGCUGGCCUUCUUGUUAAUUUCAUUUUGUGUAACGAAACAAAGUAGCCUACAAACAUAAGUUAAGAAAAGCUAAACAGUUUUUAGAUAUGCCACUCCACUUCCUCCCAGUCAUACGCAUGUGAAUCUAUGGGGAAUGCAGAUCCGCUCAUGUAGAAAGCUUCAAUUUUGUGAAUUUGGCGAUAUUCUGUUCAAAUUUGACUAAAAUUUGUUCAAAAUUUUGGUAUAUCAGCACCCUCCAAUAGAAACGUCCAAACCUAAAGAUUAAACCCUGGGGGGGGGGUGCAUAUGCAAAAAUUUCAGUCUUUUGGGCCUCUGAAAACUCGGAUAUUUUGGUCAAACUACAACAGGAAGCAUGAAAGGAUCAUAACCUACACAGAAGCCUAGAGCCUCAUUAGUGGAACUAUGCCCCACUGCAUCCUUGCUGACAGGAUCACGUUUUCUCUCAGGGAAGUGUUAUGGUAGAUGUGACUAUCACCUCCAAAUUUAUCGAUAUCAUUCACUCAUAAAUUAAGAGGCAACCCAUAUAAUAUGUCACAUUUAGUACACAAGCCCAGCAAAAAACAUUUAGUACACAAAUACAUUGUAAUAUAUCUAAUACUCUCACACCCUUCUUGAAAUUUGUGUGGAGGUUGCCUCUUGAUUUAGGGGUAGCUCAUCAUCUCUCUCCUCACUUAUCUCCACCAUCUCAUCACUUAAUCCAAUGUGGCACUCUUAGGGGCAGCAUAUGGAGCAUUAUAGUACUUGCCCUCAGCGACUUCUCCCUCCUCACCGUGAUCCAACUUACCGCUAGUCGCUAGAGAGUACAAGUAUCUAAUGGCUAUGACUAGAGAUUGCCAAGCUGAUCCAGGCAUUACCACAUUGGUCUCUUACCCCUAGAAGCCACAUUAAUCACCUUGACACAUAAGACAGUCGUGCAACAUGGAGUCAGUGACAAAUUGCAGAAAGAAGGGAGUUAUCUGGUGGCAUAUAGUUCAUAUUCUCACUUCAUUUGUGAGGGAUCCCACCUAAUCACAUCCCUAUGAAUUCAACCGAGUCUUAUCCAACAACUCAUAGGAGUAUCAAGUUACAAGGUUUUAAAGUAGCACAGCAAUAUAGUUUUGCACUAGAUUCUCUCAUACAAACAUGUCACUGACAAAAUAUAAUAAUAAGGUGCAGAUUGAUAGUAGAAUUAAUGACUGGUCAUUCUUGACUUUUGCAUGAGCACUUUCAUGCCUUAUCAAAAGUCACAUCUGUCUAAUCAGAAAAUAGUUAGGUAGUAAGAUUUUAAAAAGUCACUUUCUUUUAUAAGCAAAGAGAAGUCUGCUUUCUGCCCUCGAUUCAAACUUUUAUGAGAAACAGAGAUGGAAUACUGUUUCUCGUAAAAAAAAAAGAUGGAAUACUGUGAUACCACCACCUAUCAGGCCCGACGAGCGGUCCACUGUAUAGGAAAAUGGGCAACAAUGGGACUCCUAACUCUUUCUUGAACAUGCAGGAACAGUCAAUUGCAAUUAAAACAGAUGCUAUUAUUGCUAACUUCCUUUUAAAAUGAUGACAAGACAUGAUAAAGAUUAUUAGUUGGCAAUUAUGGACAUGCAAUACAGAUGCCCAAAGCAAUGACUAAAAUAUACCUGCAUGUUUGAGGAAAUAUUGACAACAUAAUGGAUAGGAGGACUCUUGUCUCGGUAGUGGAAUCCCAUCUCAGAAAUAGCUACAAGCUUGACAAUCAAAACAGAGUGAGGUAGUUAGCUGUGUGCAAUGCUAAAUGGACUUCAUGUGCAUCAUUACAAUUUACAAUGUCGCAAAAACACAUAGACACUGUCAUUAUCGUUCACCAGUUAGACAAUUAUACAAAUUCCAAGCAUUACUAUAGUAGUUGGACAAAAUAGAAUUUGAAGGAAGCACGCAAAAACAAUGUGACCCUUUGACAAGCAUUACUGUAGUAGUUGGACAAAAUAGACCCUUUGAAGGAACCUAAUGCAUGCAGCGUACACAAAAACAAUGUGAGCAACUUGAUGAUAUGGUCACAUACUCAUGUUUCAUGAUUCAUCUUGAAAAGGUAAAGUAUAAUUAAAUUUAAAUAUUAAAUAGUAGCUCCCUAAAAUGCCAUUUAUAGAGGGAUAUUGGGUGAUAAGAAAAGGUACUGGUCAAAUUACGACAAAUUAGACCAAAGAUCUUAUGUACAAUCCUGACCAAAACAAUAAUCCAAUUUAAUGACUUCAUUAAUGGCCUGAUUGUUUAAAUUUCGAAGUAGCGGUAUCAGCCCAAGAAAAAUUUGCAAAGCUUAAACGGAUGUCACGUACAGCUUACAGUUGAUUUUGGUCAUUAUAAAAAAAAAAUCUAUUCCCAAAAGGUACACAAAUCCAAAACCAAAAUUCACCUCAUCAAAAAUCCACUGACGAGUUCCAGAGGUCUGGAGCAAUGCUAUGUAUCGGAAUAACAGUCCAAUAAUGUCCUCCAUGUGCUCUAUCAUCAAUGAUAUGAAAUAGGUAAAUAUUAUAUACACUGUAAAUCUUCAGUACUUAAAAGUAAAAUUUGAUCUUCCAUCAAAAAAUAGUAAAGUUUGAUCAUAUACUAUCCACUUAGAUUGAAAUUAAGGAUUUACCCUCCUGACUCUCAUGUGAGUGACCUUGAUUACCCCACGUCUUUUUUUUAUGCAAGAGAUUACCCCACAUGUCAUUGGCACAGGAGGGUAAAUCCUCAAAAAAUUGUUGUUAAAAAGGCCCUUCUUGAAUGAAACUCACCAUAGCCUACAUCUGUGAGCUGUAUAACAACAUUGAAGAAUGAAAACUCAUAACUCCAGUCACCUUCCCAUGCAUACAAACUCAUAGCCCAUCCUGAGGAAUUUAACAAAGACAAAGUUAAAAACAACAAGCACUAUGAAAGAUAUAUACACACACCCAUACAUAGAGAGAAAGGGAGGUGAUCAGGUGAGGAUGAUACGUGGGUUAUGUCCACCCAUUAAGCACAGUCAAGUCACUAUUUAUCUUCUUUAUUUUGUUGUUGUUUAUUAUUGAUUGUUAUGGUGGCAUUAUCACUAUUUUCCUACGUAGACUCCACAUAGGUCACCGAGAGACACCACGGUUUAGGCACAGAGGGGACAUGUGGACACUUUCGAAAGUUGAGGGACCAAAAUCAGACCAAGGCCAUAGUUUAAGGGACUAAAUGUGGACCUUUUCCUUUUCUUUAUUGUGUAUUGUUUGCCUGUUCCAUUGAAACUUUACUUUGAUUUUUCCUUGACAAACCUAAUGUCAUUUUUACAUAACAAAGUCAAUAGCUUCUUGUAUCAGUAGCCAAUUUUUUUGAGGUUUGGCUGCACAUAAUCUAAAAAUGAAACCUAUUUGAGGAAGGAGGUCGCAGUGAAUUAUUAGCACACCACCUAAAGAGGAUAUUGCUGUUAUACCUAAAUAUCCUCGAAUGAAACAUUAAAUAAAAGCAAAGGAAUAAGAUUUCAUCUCCAGAUUUUUCCUAUAUAACAGUACGGAAGAACCAUACAGAGAUAAAAGAGUUGAAAACACCACACGAAAGCAUAUACAUAGAAAACACAAAAGCAUCUGGAUAUGUGCACUACAAAAUGGCAUCUCAAUUGGAAAAGCAAAGUAAGACUAAUUAUAUGCAUUUGGAUAGUAAUUAUAUCAGACCAAGAACCAGCUCAACACGUCACCUCGAAAGAUGGAUAUAAACUCCAAAUCAGUGAAUCACAUAACACAAUCUAAAGUAGCAUUCUUGAAUUAAAUGGCGCUAUCAUGUCUAAAUGCUUCAUCAAAGUGCGAGUACAAUCCUGUAUUAAGCUGACAAUAAGGUCAGAUAUUCACAUUAACAGAAAUACGUAAUAUCUUGAAGCAAGAAGCAUAGAACCAGAGGAUUUUGUAUUCAUGUUACACCAAAUAGCCUAUGGACUGACCAAACAGCCCCAAACCCGUCCACCAGAAAAGAAGCUGAACUUCUCAUAUAUAGCUUACCUAAAUUUUUUAGCACGUAAAAUAGAGACCCCUCUCCUUCAUGGCCAACUAGACGACUCACAUACUUGCAAGGCCCUUCCUUAUAGUGCUGAAUAUUUGGGGUGAUUGGCCACUGUAUUCUCAAAGUGUGGCCUUCUUUUAUGGGAACCGCUUUAACAAUGAUCUGCAGGUCAUUAACUACCAUAUUAAAACAUGUUAAAGUAUCCUUACAUUUCAAAAGAAGUGCCAGAUCCAGUGGUGCACUUGACUUAUCAACCUAUUUUUAGCAAAUGGAAAAUAUAAACCUGGAGAUGUUCACUUGAACAUGGAUGACCAUGAAAGGAAAAACUUUCCCUUCCAGUAUUCCUGACAUCAGAGAACUUAUUUUCAACAAGAUUUUGAAGGUUGUCAAGACUCUCUGCAUACACAAGUUACACAACAGAUAAAAGAAAAAAAAAUAAUUUGAAGAAUUUGUACACAAAUGAAAAAUAUAAUGGUGUAAUUCAGUUUGAUGAAAACCUUUGCCAUACACAACAAGUUGCAUCAAAUUAGCUGAGUAAUGUGAAUUAUAAAAUUUAAUAAGCUCUUCCAGUGUGUCCAAUCCUUCCUUAUUUGGAUUAACCAGCAAAGUGUCCAGGUUUCCUAAAAUAAUAGAUGAUCAGAAUAUUAGUGAAAAAAAUAGUCGACCUUUCUAUCAUGUAAAAAAAUAGCCUCUUAUUUGGCUCAAGUUAAAACUCCCACAGGUUUUGAUUCCAGAGAAAUAAUAUCUAAAAUAAUUUUAAGGUGUAAAUACUCCCUGUCCUGUAUGUUUGUUAGACUUCAACAAAGUAAUCUCCAAUUCACAUAUUUGGCCAGUGACUUUUAGUGGUAGUUUAAUUUUGACUCCACUAUUCUGAAACAACAUUAUUUUUUAAGAACAAGCACGAUACUGACCAACAGAAUAAAGUAGAAUCAGAGGGCAGGCAUCAAUUAUUCUCAAAGUAUAAGAAAUGUCAAAGUACUUCAUGUACAAACUUGUGAAUUCAGUGCUUGUUCGAGCCUAUGUGGUCCUCGCCAAGAGAGGGACUUGAUGGGUUAGAAAAAUAGAGGUGUAUUUGCCAGAUCUAAGAGUUGCACAAUCUUUGCUCAUUCAUCACAACCUUUGCCCAUUCAUAUAACUACCAUGCCUCACCACCAAAUAAAAAAAGGGAUACGAUAGGUGGUGCUGAGAAAGAUCAGCUAGAUGCCGAGUAAUCUUAGUUAGGUUGUGCUGGAAGGCAUGGGCCGACACAAGGGGAGAUGCAAAACAUUUGACUGACAAAGGCACAAUUUUACGUGUUUCUAUGUCCUUCAUAUGCUAUUGUUUCAUUUGUGAAAUCAGUGUUUUUUCAAAUGAUCCUCAUGGUCCACAUGGAUCAAUAUCAAUACAGAAGAACUUCAAGAAAAGAUGUGUGUGAGCCUUGGAUGACAGAAUAAACCACAAAUGAAGAGAAUCCAUCAUGAAGAUUGAGAAUACCAUAAAACAAAUGGACCAUCAGGUUUACAAAUGCAGCCUUUUUCCUUUUGGAAUUUGGAAGGAUAUAUAGUGAGUUUUUUUUUCCCCAUCAUGAGCAAUAUAAGGGCAUUCAACUAGUUAAAAACUUAAACUCAGAAGUUCAUAUGACAUGGAUAUUUUCUGCAACAUUACAAAACGAAUUCUUGACUUCAGCAUGCAAUACUUGUGAGUUGUGGCUAUAAAAUGAAGAUAGAAACAUGGUACCAAGCAUAUAGUUGCAACAUCAGACACUACAAGAAAAUGAAAUGAUGACUAAAACACACACCAGUGCUAAACUUGUGAUAUGGAUGGCUCUCCGAGCAAAAAUGUUUCUGGAGCUGAAACCAAAAGAUUAUAGACAACGAAAUUAUUAUAGCAUGAAAGAGCAUGGUAACAUAAAUGAAUUUGACAGAAACAAUUGUAAUAAAUCAAAAAAAAAUCAUAUUACACCGCUCAAGAAGAAAUGUAAAAUAUAAUUAAAUUAGGUAGAAACAUAGAUUUAGAUGUCAAAACCACUAUCAGAGCUGGGUUGCAUUGCUCUUUAAUUUGGGGGGACGGGAUAUUUUUAGUCGGUUUUAUACUUUUGUUAGUUAAAGUGUGAUUUUUAGAUAAACCCUAUAAAGUAAGGGGUGUAAUAUAGAUUUAUCCCAAAAUCAAAAUAGAAUAUGAGUAUGAUACCAUUCAACUAUAACAGAAAAUAUUCCACUGCGUUGAUGUUUUUCUAAGAUAAAGGUACCUGACUCAUUCGCAAAGGAUCUGACAACAAGUUUUUCUUAUUUUCUGCAGGUGAAGAAAAAAAAGACAGAAAUUAGAAGUUAAUUCUCUCAGCAGAAAUGUCAGUUCCAGAUAAGAGAGAAGCAAUAUAUACCAGAGUCAACAGCAUUAAUUUCCCUUAGAGUUGCAUCGGGUGAGAUCAAUGGCUUUAUAAAAAAUUGUGCAAACCUAAAACAACAGACGAGAAGCAAAAUGAAUCAGAUUCUGCAAAAUAAGAACAAAGGUGAAAAGAAAGAAAGCAGUAGAAGGUACCUAUCCAAAGCAUCAUCCAGGCAACUAUUGUUCACAUCAAAAUAAAAGUUUGUACGUUCACGACAUGUGAAGGCGUUGGUUGAACCACCAUGCUAAAAGAAACAUCCAUAUCACACAAUUGAUGAUUUCAAAGUAGAGAAGAAAACUUAAAUACCAUGAUAUUCUUUAUAUGAAUUUAUGAACAAUUAUGCCCCCUAUUCUUUAACUAUAUCAGAGGCCAGCCAGACGAUUUGGUUUUCCCAAUUAGUAUUGUUAAUAAUUUAAAAGGCUAAACCUCUGCUUGCAAAUCUCCAGUAGCAGCAUAACAUUGGAGGAACCCAUGGUUCAAGGCUUGAAGCACUGAAGGUACAGAGCUUCAUUGGGGCCAAACUUGGCCUACCCAAUGAUUGUACAGUCUAUAUGAUACUUCCUCCGUCCCAAAAUGUAGGUAUUUUUUAGGUUGGCACGGUAUUAAGAAAGUAGGUGAGAAUGAUUGGAGGAAGUGUGUGGUUGGUUGAAAAGAGAAAGUAGGUGAAGAAGAAUGGUUGUGAUUAGUUGAGAGGAGGAGGUAGGUGAAAAAAAUAGCUUCAUUUUGGGACAAGAUACUGUGCUAGAAAUAGCUACAUCUUGGGACGGAGGAAGUAAGUACUUGUAUUUGGGGCAUUUUACUUAUUAAGCUUCAAAUUGGUCCCAUAUGGAUUAAGCCACUCGUGCAUCAUUAGUGUUGAACCACUCUCACUCUGCCACUGUAAGCACUGGUGCACCACCGCAAACUCGCAGCAGUAAAUAUAUGAGUUUACUCACAAGUCACAAGCUGGAUACUAUAGUUACGUGUGCCUAUUAUACUGUUACCAACUGACAACUGGUACUCUAGGGGCAAAAGGGCAGUAACCAUGAUUAAAAAAAUUAAACUAGAUUAGCUCUACAGAUACUGAAUUUCUCUAAUCGCACUCUGCUUAAAGUACUAUAAAUAUAAAACCAAACAAGUGGCAUCUAUUGGCAUAACAGGAAGCAUCCAAGAACCCCCAAAAUGUGGUACAAGUCUCUAGUCAUUGCCAGUAAAUUGAACGUAGACUGGACGUUUUGCAAAGAAUGCAGUAUGCUGAAGUUCAAUUGUCCUUCCAAUUGUUCUGAAGCAUUUAGAUUAAGUUUUGAGAUCAAUUUUAGUUCGAUCUAACAAAUUAUUGACCACGACAAAUCAAGAUCACUUACAAAUGUCCUCUUCAAAUUAACAGAACAGAUAAGAAAUUGGCCAUACAUACCUCUGCAAUAUACUUUGAGUAAUCGUCUUCCACAGGGUAUUUCUCGCUAGCAUAGAAAAGCAUAUGCUCUAUAAAAGAAGAACCAAGCAUAAGUGAAUCAAACAAUACAGAGACACAUACAUGUUAAUUACUGCAAAACACAUGCCAUGAAGCUCUCUACAUGCGAUAGUACAAUCCAACCAAGAUAAAAAAACAAUUCAAUGAGGUUUGAACAGUGCCUGGUGAUGCAUUAAAACUCUUUAAAGGUACACACUAGAAAAUAUAUAAAAGAGCAACAUACAAAACAAGGCAAAUUAAACAUACACUAAGCACAUCGAUAGCAUGACACACAGUGACACAAGAAAGUUGUGCUUACUUUAUCUGUCCAAGGAAAAAUAGUUACAAUGACUAGUGAGUAAAUUAAUUUUCUAAUUGAAUAACAGUGUCUCCUUAGAUUUUUACAAUCACCUUAAGUAUCCAAAUAAUAUGUUCGAAGCACUCUGGUGUCGAAAUGAACCUCCUAUUAAUAUAUGCCAUCCAUUUCAAUACAGAGGCAAUAUAGCAUGUAUAUGUAUUACAAUAUUAGUAUAAUAGUUUCAAUCACGAAUAAAAUUUCUGAAACAUCUGAUCCUUCAAUGAACCCGUGAGUUUCAGAUAAGUAAGCCAUUUUAAGGCCCAACUGUAUUUUUCUCUUAAUGCCCUUUCACAUGUGGGCUUUGACAUCUUUGCAGAUUAAUCAAGUAAAUGAUUAGCUCAUAUACCUUUGAAGGUAUGGGCCAUUGUCGCUUAUUAGCUGGAUAUUCUGACAGCACCUAUCAGGAGAUAUUGAUACUGAAUUGAUACAUUGAGUUGCACAUGUGAAUCAAUCAUCUGUAUAUUUUCCUGGCCAUGCUAUACUUGUUUUAAUCUUCUCAUCCAGAGAUACUCAGCAUGAUGCUGGAAAUUCAUUUUCAGAUGUUUUGCAUAUAUUUGUGCACAUAUUUUACUUAUCCAAAAAAAUAUAUGAAAAAGUAUAUUUUCCUUGCAUAUUUUCUAUGUGACAGGGGCUGUGAGAAAAAUAUGCAUACCUAAAUUUCGACCUUCUUCAUCUUUAUUACAUUAUCAAUUCAACAAUUAAACAACUAAAAAGGGACAUGUACAUAUUGUAACAGAACCAAGCCACAACCUCAAACAGCUUGGUGUAAAAAGCCAGCAAAAUUGUAGUGGUAGGCUAAUAGCAGGCCUGACACUGCAACGGAAAUGCAUGGAGAUGAUAGAGAUCAAUUGCAUAGGCAUCAAGGCCCGAACGCACUGAGAUUAUCAUUACUAACAUCAUGUACAGUGAGAGCCACUUAAACGGAAGCAGCUAACUACAACGGAAAUCAUACUAGCAUCCGUUCAAGCCAACAAAAAAAGAAAAUCAUAGCAUCCACGAUUACUAAUUUCUCAGAGGUUUUACGCAACAAGUCAAAACAGGAAGCUCACCAAGGAAAUGUGCAAGGCCAGGGAGCCUCUCGGGAUCGCAGAAGUAGCCCACCGAGACAUUCAUCGACGCCGCCGCCUGCAAACAAACAAAGCCGGGAUUCACCCAUUCAAGCCAAAAACCCAGGAGGCAGGCACCAAAACCCCCGGCACAUCCCCGAUCGAAGGAGCCAGCGAAAGCACGGAGACCUUGUCGGUGUCGGGGUCGCUGACGAGGAGGCACUCGAGGGCGUUGGGGAGCACGACGCGGCGGUACCCGCGCUUGUCGUUGCGGGGCCUGGUGAUCUCCGCGUCGCCCUCCGCCGCCGCCGCCGCCGAGGGUGCGGCCGCGACCGCGCCGUCGGACGACGGCUCGGCGGGGGCGUCGGUCGUCGUCUCGCGCGCUGGCCUCGAACCCGCCAUUGCGGCCGCCGCGGAUUCGCCGCCGCUGGCGGUGGGUGGUGUUGGAGUUGGAGUGGACUGCGUCCGCGAAGACGCGAAGUUGGCUUGGCAGUUGGAACGGCGAGUAACAAGUUGUCCCCGGAGACAACGCGAGAGAGGGUGGCACGGCAGCAGUGGGUGGACCUGCAGCGCGGGUUGGUGGACUUGGUAGUUGGGCACGUCAGGAGUGGGCAAAUGGGCUGGGCCGGAAUGCCGGAUUUGUGCACGGCGGCGUGCACCGGGACAUCUUUCUGUUUGAAGUCCGGCGUGUACCGGGACAUCUUACUGUUUGAAGUUCGAAGUCAAGUAAACGUCUACUCGAACGUUCGGAAUUUUUACGGAAUGGGAAGAAAACUACUCCCUCCGUUUCAUAAUAUAAGCCAUUCUAACAUUUUUCACAUUCAUAUGGAUGUUAUAUGCGUAGAUUCACUAACAUCCAUAUAAAUGUGAAAAAUGCUAAAAUUACUUAUAUUAUGAAACAGAGAGAGUAGCUAGGUGUGCCAUAGCAGAUGCAGCAUACAAAAGAGGCAGCGAGUAGAAAACUGAAACGCAGCGAGGAAUGUGACACACAUGCAGAGUUUUCAAGCAAAAUAUAAGCGUCGCCUGCUUCGGCAGCUUUGCUAUACUCUCCAUGUGUAGAUUGCAGUGGGAGCUGAAUGUAACUUUCUCGCGGCACAUGGUUCCAUUUUUCAGGAAGAGAUAACGUCCAAAGAAACAACAGCGAGCUCACUGAAACGGAAAUAAAAUUUGGAGCUAAACUAAGGAUCUGUAGGUGGAACCGUGGAACUGUGGAAGCACCUCUGCUCUGGUGGUUACGUCGUAGGGUCUGAGCCCACGUAAUGAGAAACCACAAGGUGAUCUCCAGUCGUCAGUCACCCUUGGUGCCAGCAAAAAGGAGAACGAAAGGUCGUGGCGAUAGAAAAUGGUGGAAUGGAAAUGCAGAAGUAUCAACAUCUGUCCACAAAAAAGUUUCUUUAAUAAUGAUCAAAAUUACACGUAAAAGGAUUAUUCUUUUGGAAUUUGCAAGAAUAUCAAAAGGGUUGACUUAUAGCUUCAUCUGACCAACACCUCCCUUGUAUGAACCAUAUAAAGGUCUCGACCUCCUGAAGUUGAAUAUAUCUGUUAUUUGAUAGGAAUUUGGUCGUGGCUCAUCGUGGACUAUCUUUUCGUACUCCGAGGAAUGGAGACCGCCGUAAACUUGAAUACUGAGUAUCUUCUUUUGUGGUGCAUUAACUUUGACAUGAUUGUUGAAGAACUCUAUCAACUCCUCUUUCUUAAGAUCCCUCAGUGCAGCAACCUGCAGUUACAGAACUCCAGGUUUUGAAAACUGAUACUACAUCAGAGGGAUAAUGUAAAUAUAUUGAGCAUACCUCCACUUCUUUUCGAUCAAAUUUCAGAGUUCCUUCCGAAAUCUCUCCCCAGAAGAAAGCUGAUUCCUCUCUUAUAUUCUUGUAUUUCUCCAACUUCAUGUCAAUGAGAGCGUUCACGUUACUCUGCAGAUAACAGAAGCCACUGUUUAGUCCGCAUGAUGUUUACAAGUACAAAACCAUGCAAUUUAGCUACGGCAAGCUGUAAUAGAAGCCAAUGAUUAACAGUGAGUCAGUGACAUCAUCUGUCCAACCUUGAAUUCUGUAUCAGGCAUUUGGUAUAGAGUUCCUUCAAACAUCGUAAGGAAAGCUUCAACUCUAGCAUCCAAGUUGGCUGGAUCCUGUCAAAUCAAUAUAUUAGAAUAGGAGAAUGAUUGUUUCAGCGGGUUUGAAACUGCAUUGAGAAAUAUAUCUACCUUCACGGUUGACUGGAUUAUAAAUUGCAAACCACGGACACCUGAAUCAUUUCUGGGUAAACAGGAUCAGUGUCAAUGAUUUUACAGGAAUUGCAUAGUCUACAUAUAGAACACCAUUCUUGCCAACCAAGGCAAAAAGACCACUGUACAUCCUAUCAAUUACGUGAAGGUUGUACGUACUUUUGUCUAAGCAGUGUUAUGUAGCCAAGUUGCUCAACUGAACGUAAUUGGUGAAAAGCUGGUUGCUUAGCAACAAGAGCAAGCAACUGGAGUAUAACAUUUUUUUUGAGAUCAUCCUGAUGAAUCUGCGCAAUGGAAACAUUGUUACAGGAUAGUAAUGUCUAUUAGAUGUAUCUUUCCAGGGAAAAACUAUAAUAAUUCAAGCUAGAAAAGAAGCUAGAGUAAGAGCAAGGAAAAACUGUAAAUGCACAGAAACAACACCCAAGAAGUGAGGCACACCUGAAUAUAAUGCAGAAGGCAAGAAUUUUCAUCCUGGUGAUUUAGGCAUAAUGCUGGAUAAUAAUACCUCAAACCCCUUUCAAGCUUUACAAUUCGCUUUGUAAGAUGCUGUGAUGAGGGUAAUGCUUUGCACAGACUGACAGGUGCAUUGAAUAAGAUGUCUUCAACAUGCUGCAUAACACCUUUUACCGCACCCGGUUCCAUGUUCCCUAAUAUCGAUUAUCAAUUACAUAAUGAAUUAAUAACAUCAACAAUGCAGAGCAUUCUCUAAAGAAGAGAGUAGUGUGGCUACAAAAGUCAUUAGCAGCAUUACACGGUAAUUUUAUGAAAUGACACAUAUUCAUGUUAGUUACUCCCUCCGCUUCAUAUUAUAAGUCACUUUGGGUUUGUCCUAAGUCAAACCUCAACAAGUUUGACCAAGUUUAUAGAAAAAUAUAGCAAUAUUUCCAACACAAUAAAUAUGCUAUAAAAAUAUUAUCGAAUGAUGGAUUUAAUAAGGGAGUAUUAAACAAACCAGCAAAGUAGCUCUCAAUAAAUGUUUUCCCCAGCAGAUGAGGCAAAAACUUCUCGAGAUCGCUAGCUUCAAUUUGAGAUACUGCAGCAAGUUCUUCAUCCCAUGCCCACGUUUGCUCCUCUAAUAUCAAUGAACAAUAGUAGAAAGCUUGCUGAUAUGGUUGCCGAAAUUUGAAAUUCUCAUACUCCUUUGUUAUAGUUUCCUGAUGACAGCAAUAAAAGAUUCACACCCUCAGUUCAUGUCGAAUGCAUAGAAAUAUAGCUUAAUAUUGCAUCAUCAGGAAGGACCACAAAAUAUUGUAGAACAUAAUAUAUACUCCCUAUGUCCACAAAUACAAGGGAUUUUAGAGUACUAGCUGUCUAAUCAAUCACCUCUCAUUCAAAUUUCUUCCCAUCUUACUCCCACCCACCCCACCCAACCCUCAUUGAACAUGAGCAUCCUAGUCUUUUAUCUUCAUCCUUGAUCUCUCCAAAAACAGAGGGAGUAUGCUCUUUCACCUCUCCAAGAUAGCAUAGCCAUAUAGAAACUAUGAUAUGUUUAAUCCAGGUAGAAUUAUAUAGAUGCUUAAAUAUCCAUAUGCACCUGGAAACAGCUCUCCUGCUGUAUAUAGCUGUUCAGUCCCAUUUUUGCAUGGGAAGAUAGUAAUGACAAAAAUGUUGCAUGUGUAUGCCACUAAAUGUUUUGCAGAUUUGCUCAGAUUCCUUUGAAUUACUUUACCUCCAGGGAAAACAAUUUCAGAAGAUAGUGAGGCAAAUGUCUUCUUUUAUAGGUUUUUACCUGUGUGCCAUUAAAAAACAUGACCCCUGCCUCUGUGCCACUAAAAAGUUCGAGCCUCCCUCUAUGCCAUCGUCGAACUUUAUCGUGCCCUCCACACCAUUCCGUCGCUAUUCUGUUAGGGUCUUAACCGUUUGGCAGCACUGACAUGUGGGCCCGGACAGGAAAAAUGUCGCUCUGGCCCUUUCAGUCGCGGGCCCCACCUCUCAUACUCUCACCUCUCUCUUUCCCCUCUUCCCCUUUUCCUCUUUCUCUCUUGAGUAGCGAUGGCCGGCAGCCGGCGGCGGGCACGGCGCCCACCCGCAGGACGACUCGCGCAACCUCGUCCACCUUCCUCGCCGGCCACCAACCUACCACGCGGGUGGGGCCCACAUGUCCGAGGAGGACGACGACUAGCCGCCGCUGCUGCCGGUGCAGAAGCGGCCGCGCGACGCGCGCCGGACCAGGUGCUCGACAACGUCCUGGAGACGGUGCUGCACCCUCGCCGUCGCCUCUGCACCCUCGCCACGCCCGCCGCGCACCCGCCGGCGAGCUCGCACUCCUCGGCCCCGCCGGAGAGGCCGGCAGUCGAGGCGACGACGAGGUGGCGCGGCGAGGUCGGCGAGUAGGGGGGUCGUCGUCGGGGAUGUGCCGGCUCCUCGCCGCCGAGGAGGCCGUGGCGUCCGCAGCCGCCGCCGCCACCGUCGUCCCGGCGCUCUUCAUCGGUGGCGCCCUCCGUCCUGGCUCUCUCUCUCUCUCUCUUUUCUCUCAACCCUAAGGGCAGCAAAGUCAUUUGGCUACGCUGUUUGACACCGUUAGGACUAAAAACGGACGGAAUGGUGUGGAGGGCGCAAUAAAGUUCGACGAUGGCAUAGAGGAAGUCUUGAACUUUUUAGUGGCACAGAGGCAGGGGCCAUCUUUUUUAAUGGCACAUAGGUAAAAACCUCCUUCUUUUAUCUUUGUUAGAUUCAAACAGUUCACUGGAGACAUCAGGGAAAUGAAAAAAUGUAUAGACUGUACAUGUAUAUUUUGAUUUCUGAUCAACAAUAAGUAUUGUCUACACAAUACUUACUCCCUUCAGUAAAGAAAAAGGUAAAUUGUGAUUCUCGGAGUCAAGACAAUGCCCACUUUGACCACUAGAUUAUAACAUCAUAUGCCCUGAGAAAAGUACAUUGACCACUGAUAUCAUGCAAGUACUUUUCAUACAAAUUGACCAAUCAAGGCAAGAGAUGUCAUUUUACACGUUUACGCCAAUCUUAAUAAGAAUACACACCAUUAUCUAAAGCAGACAUGCCCAAUUGUCCACCCAUGAAUGCAAACUACCGCUUUUUCCUAAACAGAGGUAACUUGUGGCUAACAAGGAACCUCCUGAAUGUUUAUACUCAUCCAAAUAGCCAAAUAUCAGGCCUGAAAAGAUAUUUGGUAACAACAAAUUACAAGUAAACUUUAGUGUGGCCAUUACCUUUAUCACAGAAAAACGGUCAGCCUUAACUUCAAACUCAGCAAUUUUCCCAAUAACAGUCUCCAAAAGAGUUCUCAUUUUGUCAUUGUAGCCAACCAUGGUUAUCUGUAAGGCAAUCAUAAAUAUUGGAGUAUUAGAAAAGAAGAGGAUUUUAGUAAGACACGUAACAUGCCAUGGGGUCUAACUUCUGGAGAAGGAAUAAUAUCAACAUCACAAAACAUGCAUGAUGAAAAAUCAGGGUUAUGCAAUAUUGACCAUUUAAUCUAAUAGAGAGUAUAGUACCAUUUGUAAUCCACAAAUAAGAAAAAAAGAAAACAAAUGGAGAUAAAAGGCCCUGUUCUAUUCUUCAACUUUCUCGUUUUCUGUUAGCACGUUUUUCAAAUUGUUAAAUGGUAUGUUAUUUUAAAAAAUUUUCUAUAAAGAAGUUGUUUAAAAAAGCAAAUAAAUCCUUUUUUCAGAUUUAUAAUAGUUAAUACUUAAUUAAUCAUGUGCUAAUGAGGUUUCUCGUUUUGCGUGCCAUAAAAAUCUAUCUCCAAAACUGGAGAUCGAACGGGGCCAGAUGUAGCAACUUAUGAAAAGAUUAGAUCAUGUACAUCUUAUAAAUUAAGAUCAUGUAGUAAUGAAGUAUUUACAAACCACUCUCAGUACUUAACUACAUCUAGUUAAAAAAAUGCACAUCUAUUACUAUCUCCCUACAUAUUGCUUCCUUGAACAUGCAUGAGAUAUUAUUGAAGUGUAAUUCCAUUGAAUUAUAUCUAAAUUGGGUUUUUGAGCGUCAAGCCAGUAAAUACUAAUUUGAUGCACAUCGUUUGGUCGAAAAAUGGCACGUAUUCAAAAAGGAGUAGCUUAGUAUCAGUGGAACAAUUCAAUUUCCACAUUAACCAGAAAAUUCCUUUUUUGAACCCCCAGGAAUUUCAUAAAAUUUUCACAUGGAACACUUCAACUCCCUCAGGAAUCAGAAAAGGAAUGUGCUUAUCAUUAUCAACAGAAGCCCCUCCCCCCGGCGGGAUUAACAAUGAAGAUAAACAAUUGUUAUUUCACGUGAACUGCACAGCUGACCUGAAAACCAGUGUCAUUUGGCCUAACACCGUAAUAAAGACCAGCAACUUGAGCAUCAUAAGCUGAAAGCAAAACAAAGCUGUUGGAUUAUGGCAAUGGGUAAAUCAAUCAAAAGGUAACUUAACAAGGAGAUGACAACGACAAUGUGUUUAACCCCUCGUUUUUCUAGGAUGAGUAGUGUAUGUUCAGGACGGUGAUUUGUUUUAGGCAAACAGAAAUUAAGGCUCUCAAGCAGAAAAGAACCUUUUCCAACUUCAUCAUUAAUCUUACCUCCUUUAAUAUAUCCCCUCUAGACUAUAUGUCUAUCGUCAGAUCAUCGUACAAAGACAAGUUUAAAAUACACUCAAAUUUUACUACAUACCAUAAUCAUUUAAAUAAUCCAUGAGCAACCUUGUGAAUACAUCAGUAAGAACUGAUGAUUCAGGAGAACUACGGGACAGUGGACAGUGGAAAUCCAUCUUGAUAUAGGCCUUGGGUGUGAAGAACAUUGUAUCAGGUUUAUACCACACUCUGGAAAACAGUGUUUUCCUCAACAUACAAGGAAAACUUGCCUGGAUAAACCAAAAGGUAUCAACAAACAGUUUAUAAAAACAUAAUUAUGACUUUUUUAAGGUGGUAAAAACCUUCUCCUCGGCAUUUUUCAAUGAAAGAUCACUUGGAAGGAAGAUAUUAGGUUUUGGCAUGUGCAAAUCUUCCACGGGAGCUUUCUCUACCCAUUUCUGCACAAAUUUAUACAAGGAACUUUUAUGUUUCCAAAUAUAGAAAUUGGAUAAUAUAACAAGAACAGUAACAUCCAAAUGUAUACCUGUAUAAUGGAUGGAGGAACUGCUUCCACAGAAUAUGAUGUACCAUACCACGGCUCUGUUAAGUUUGUUUGCCCUUCAAAUUUUUUGGACUCCCAGAAUAUCCUGAAAUGAGAUGUGGACGAUAAGUAUAUGAUGCCCACAGUAAAAAAAAAAAAAAAGGUAGAGUGGGAAAAAAAUAGCUAAUUUAAGGAAUAUAUAGAGUGUGAAAGGAGAAGAGAAAGCACAUGACCAUUAAAAAAAAAACUAAUGAAAGGAACAGAUUGGUUUUUGAAAUUUGACAAAAAAAAGGGGGGGGGGCAAUGUAAGCAAAGAAAUUUCUUUCACCUUCUUUGACGAAGAAAUAAUAAAAUUUCUGGCAAGCAAAAGUUAUCUUCGUUUUUUGACAUGAAACAGCAGGAGCAUAUAUAUAUACACACACACACACAUAUUAAAUAUAUGAAAGUUCUC
RNAcentral lists this long non-coding RNA (71462 nucleotides) under Oryza sativa (Asian cultivated rice). Its description in RNAcentral is "long non-coding RNA (OSAT_LNC001387)". The stretch from base 47155 to 47517 matches the Rfam family "Bacterial small subunit ribosomal RNA", at positions 874 to 1520 of the family's 1533-position model. The record is from RNAcentral. Lineage: Eukaryota; Viridiplantae; Streptophyta; Magnoliopsida; Poales; Poaceae.